RNAcentral lists this long non-coding RNA (55261 nucleotides) under Musa acuminata (dwarf banana). RNAcentral's name for it is "long non-coding RNA (MACU_LNC006183)". Lineage: Eukaryota; Viridiplantae; Streptophyta; Magnoliopsida; Zingiberales; Musaceae. The record is from RNAcentral.
UCGCCGAUGCCAUCCUGAAGAACGAUUUCAUCCUGCGCCUCGACGUUCACCGUUCCUUGGUCCCCAAAUUGGAGAUGUGGGAAAGUCUCUUGGGAUCGAGAGAGCUCGUUCUCAAGCAUCUCAAGAAGACAAGACGGUUUUUCUUCUCCAGCGUUGAGAAGACAUUGCAUCCUAACCUAAAGUUCUUGAGGGAUGAGUGCGGCAUUCCUGAAGAAAGGGUCUCUGUCGUCUUGAGAAGUCACCCACAAUUAAUCUCACAGAAACCAGAGUCUCUCCAAGCUUUGGUGGCGAGAGCCGAUGAGCUGGGGAUGCCACGGCAAUCUCGGAUGUUCGUGCGGACACUUGAUGCUCUCCACAACGUAAGCCAAGAAAGGUUCGAGGCCAAGGUCGAGCUCAUGAGGAGCUUCGGGUGGUCGGAGUCGGAGUUUUCUUCUGCAGUCAGGAAAGCACCCACCUUCUUAUGCAUGUCCCUCGAUAUGUUGCGCAGAAAAGUGGAAUUUUUUAUCAAUGUAGUCGGGUACACCCGUUCCUUCAUCGCCGACAAAUCAUAUCUCUUGCUAUUUUGUCUGCAGAAGAGGGUAAUUCCUCGGUUUCGUGUCACAGAGAUGUUGAAAUCGAAAGGAUUGUUGACUGGACAAGCCAAGUUUCCAUACAUUCUCCAAUUAUCAGAUACCAAAUUCUUGGAGAAGUUUGUUCUCCCUCACGAAGAAAAUGUUCCUGAGCUGCUCGAUAUUUUGAGAGUUGAGGGCGUGUGUAAAGGAAAAUGAUACCUUUCAUUUGGUAUCGGAGGCUGGGAAAGGGCUUAGCUGAUGGUCUAAUUUGCCAACGACGAAGGUAGAUUAUUCCCUAAUUUGAGAUUUUGGAAAUAGAAUGCAAAGGGCUUAUCAAAAGGUGUACUGAGGUGUGGGAUUUUUCUUUAAUGGCAAGCUAGAUUAGCAUUGAUUAUAAAUCAAAUUUGUUCCGUCUUACUAAUUGUUAGCUUAACUUAUUUUCCGAUUGUCUUUGGCACAGUAUUGUUGGUUUGUAUGUAAACUGCAUGUUUUAAAAAUUCUACCUAACAGUCCAAUUGAGAUGACCUUCGGAUCUAUCGUAGGGACUUUUGGCUUUUGUCCAAAUUAAUUUCAAUUCCGGAUGGGAUUUUGGUUUGUUGGGUAAGUCUCAAAGAGUCCUAUUUUAGAUCAACUUAUGCAGUAAGUAUAUACAAAAUAUCACCGAAGAUCACAGGAAGUUGCUGAGUAGUAGUUGCUCUAACGAUUUAAGUGGCUGAAAAAAUCAUAGAACAGUAAAGAGUUGUUUCUGUAAUUUGUUUUGAAAUGAGUCGUCACCAGAUUUAUGGAUUUGGAUAUGUCUAAGAAGGCUUCUUUGCAUACUUAUUUAUUUGUGUGCUAAUUGGAAAUUGAAAUUUGAUUUAUGCAUUGUAAUAUUAGUAUGCAGUGGCUUCAAUGGAGUUUGAAAGAGCAGUUGCAUUGGGUUGAUCAGGAGUCACCAGCAUUAGUAUUAACUUUGCUUCAAGGUUGUAUGGACUUUUCUCUGAGCAUCAAAACAUGGGUGUCUUCAGCCUCAUUUGGAAUUGCAAAAGCUUUUCCUGCAUCAACAAAUUCUGACUUGCCUCCGGGGGCUUCAGCUCAUCCACCCUUUGUGAUUUGGUUAGCAGAUCUCUUCAUUCUUGGAGUCUGUGGUCUAUGUAUGUUUCCCUCGUCAUGAAUGGCUUGGCCCAAUGGAAAGUCAAUUUAGGCAGAAUUAUAAAUUCCCUAUUUUUCUGGUCUUCUAAUUAUGGAUCACAUUUUGGGAGAAAGGUAUGCACAAUGCACAUUCCAUUGUGCAUAUCUUUAUUAUCACAUUUCAAAUAGGAUCAUAAGAAUAUCAAUCAUCUUUAUUGAGAUGUGUUCUGAAUUUUGACAUCAGUUGUUCCAUCUCUACAGAGAAUCUGUGCAUGAGUUGUAGAAGUGAUAGAACUUCCAAGUUCAUCAAGAUUAUUGGGAAGAUAUGCAAAAAUUCUUUUUUCUUUAUUUCUUGAAUAAUAACGUCCCAAAUCUUUGAUGUGUGGAGAGUAACUACAAGGAGCAUCUCCAGAUAUAUACUCUUACAAACUCACAACUUCUUUGCAUACAAAUCUUCACUUGACAAACCACCCAUAAGAGAAUUCCCAAUAGAGACUAGAGUUAUAUCGGAGUCACAUUCAAUCAAUUUUGGAUUGGUAGUCACAUAUCUCACCUUGGAGUCAUUGCUCGGUUCCUUGGUUCUUUCCAACUUUGUAACUAGUUGUCUAACUUGGUUCUUGAGGAUUUUAACUGUCAUGUCAAUCAACAAAAAUAAAAAAUAAUGGCAGUGCUCAUCUCCAGCCACAAAUUCUAAAAUCCAUGCUAGUGAAUAAAGCAAAUGUAACUUCUGGCAACAUUACUUUCCCUUCUUUUCUCUCUCUUUAUCUUUCCCUGCCACUGCCUUCCCCUCACCAUCACCUUUGCAGCUAUCCGCCAAAAGCUCUAAACCUGGAUGCCUUUAAUGACAUGGAGCAAUUAGAAAUGUGGAAGAACGAGAAAAACAACAAUGUCUUCCAAAAACUAAAAGAAAACUGACAGUGAAUAAGGAGAAGUGCAAAGACUCAGUAUUGCUAGGUUGCUCUCAAACUGAGAAACCAUCAGUAUUGCUAUGUUGCGCAGAAAAGUGGAAUUUUUUAUCAAUGUGGUCGGUUACACCCCUUCCUUCAUCGCCAACAAAUCAUAUCUCUUGCUAUUUUGUCUGCAGAAGAGGGUAAUUCCUCGGUUUCGUGUCACAGAGAUGUUGAAAUCGAAAGGAUUGUUGACUGGACAAGCCAAGUUUACAUACAUUCUCCAAUUAUCAGAUACCAAAUUCUUGGAGAAGUUUGUUCUCCCUCACGAAGAAAAUGUUCCUGAGCUGCUCGAUAUUUUGAGAGUUGAGGGCGUGUGUAAAGGAAAAUGAUACCCUUCAUUUGGUAUCGGAGGCUGGGAAAGGGCUUAGCUGAUGGUCUAAUUUGCCAACGACGAAGGUAGAUUAUUCCCUAAUUUGAGAUUUUGGAAAUAGAAUGCAAAGGGCUUAUCAAAAGGUGUAUUGAGGUGUGGGAUUUUUCUUUAAUGGCAAGCUAGAUUAGCAUUGAUUAGAAAUCAAAUUUGUUCUGUCUUACUGAUUGUUAGCUUAAAUUAUUUUCUGAAUGUCUUUGGCAUAGUAUUGUUGGUUUGUCUGUAAACUGCAUGUUUUAGAAAUUCUACAUGACAGUCCAACUGAGAUGACCUUUGGAUCUAUCGCAGGGACUUUUGGAUUUUGUCCAAAUUAAUUCCAAUUCCGGAUUGGUUUUUGUUUGGGUAUGUCUUGAAGAGUCAUAUUUCAGAUCAAGUUAUGCAGGAUAUAGAAAUUAUCACCAAAGAUCACAAGAAAUUGUUGAGUGGUAGUUACUCUAAUGAUUUAAGUGGCGAAAAAAACUUAAAACACCAAAGAGUUGUUUCUGUAAUUUGUUUUUAAAUGAGUCAUCACCCAAUUUAUGGAUUUGGAUAUAUCUAAGAAGGUGUUAUCUCUUGUCAGUAGAGGCUUCUUUGCAAAUUUAUUUAUUUAUGUACUAAUUGGAAUAUUUAAAUUUGAUUUUUGCAUUGUAAUAUUAGUAUGCAGUGGCUUCAAUGGAAUUUGAAAGACCAGUUGCACUGGGUUGAUCAGGAGUCACCAGCUCUUCUGAAAUGUCUUCAACCUGCUUUGGAAUUGCUAAAGCUUUUCUCGCAUCAACAAACUCUUGCAUGCCUCCAUAGGCUUCUGCUCGUCCACUCUUUGUGAUUCCAGGUGCAGAUCUCUUCAUUCUUGGAUUUGGUGGAUGCAACUUCUCAUCAUCAUAGCUGAAGCUUCUGCUCCACUUGAAAGCCUUAAGAAGGCUGCACAACUAAAUUUCUCCAACAUCUUUAUUGAGCUAAUUCCCUUGGAGUUAGUCGAUUGGCUGGUUCCUUAAGAAUAUUUUGGAUGUCAUUUUAUUUCUUAUUUCAAGUCUUUAUGUUGCCGAUGUGGUCCAUGUUUCCCGCAUCAUGAACCACGUGGCCCAUUGGCUAGUCAAUCUCAGGAAGGGCUGUAAAUUCUCUUUUUUUUUUUUGGGUCAUAGAUCAGUCUAUCUCAGUAUCUAAUCCACUUUAAUCUUUAUUGAAAUGUAUCCUUUUACGGUAAAAAAAAAAAAAAAAACAUGCAAACUAACAUGUAAGAUCAGAAGGUUUAAAAGUGACGAUUAAAUGUGUAUUGCAAGAUCCUGUAAUUGGCUUUAGUUCUUGUUGUAGAGUUUAUGAUCAUUUACAUCACUAGUAUUUCAGAUUUAUGCACACUAUCUUGACCCGUAUCUCAACCAGUUUUUUUCAGGCUAUCCGUGCCUUUUUGCAUGUAUUCAGUAUCUCAUUUCUGAUAGGAUCAUUAGAUCAUCACUCAUCUCUAUCAAUGGGUGAAUUGUGUUUUGAAUUUUGAUAUCAGUUGUUCCAUCUUUAUUCUUUAUUCUUUAUGUCUUGGAUAAUAAUUUCUCAAAUCUUUAUGUCAUCACAAGUCUCAAUUUUGGUCACACAGACAUUAAUGAAAUGAAUAUAUGGAAGGAACUGAGAAAAGUAGAAUUCAUAAAUUUAAAUAAGACGAGGAAUCAAAGCAAAAUUAUGCAUUUAUUUAUCAUGUUAAUGAACCGAUGCAACGUGAACAUACAACGACAUACGCAUUUUCAAACAAGGAUAGGGUAUUUAUGGAUGAUCACGAAGUUGGAAUGUAUAGAUUGAUGUCUUCAGAUUGAAAUGUGGCUUGCUAUAAUUAACAAGUGUUAUUUUACAGAUAUAGUAUAUUGAUGUAUAGUCAAUUUUAAUUAAAUAUCAUAUUAUCCAUCAUCAACUUCAAUCAAGCUUUUUUUUUUCUUUUUUAAAUUUUUACGAGUAAUAAAUACUAUUUAAAGCAUAUUAAUUUAAACACAAGAAAUCAAGUUUUGAAUUAUCAUAAGAUUGUUUUUUUUUUUAAUUCUGGUGCAACAAUAAAUUAUUUUUGGAUCAAAUAAAUGAAUAAUUUUAUAUCUUUAUAAAGUUACAAAAUCAUAUAAAUAUUUUAUAGAUCAUUUUAUCCAUAAUUUUGAUAUAAAUAAUUUAUUACAAUAAUUUUUAUUCCUCAUGCAUAGCGAAUAACAACAGUUGAAAUUAUGAUGCCCUUGUGGAUGCUCUCCUUUAUCCUUAAUAAUCAUAACGUUUGGCUUCUCUUUUAAUCAAGAUAAUCUCUUAUCAUUAUUUAAAGUUUAUUCGAUGUCUCCUUUUUUUUUCUUUUUUUUUAUUUUAUCGUCAAUCGAUUAAGAUCAUGUUUAGAUCAAAUUUGUUAACAGAAAAAUGACGAUUGAGUUUUCUAACUGUAUGUGUUGUAUCGUAUCUGACCAUAUGAAUUGAGUUAUAUUGAAUCGUAUGAAUUCGAUUAUACUUAACCACAUUGACUGGGUUCACAUGAGUUAGGUUGUACUUGACUACAUAGGUUGGUUUGAUUAGUCAACUUACAUUGAAUCCUCAAUUUAACUCAUCUUAUUAAAUUAUAUUUUAAAUUUUUAAAAAUAUAUUAAAAUAAUAAUUAACCUUAAAUCCAUUCUAUUUCAUGAAUUAACUAAUUUAGAUUCAUAAUUUUAAAUUUAAAAGUAAUUAAAUUAUACAAAUACAUACAUAAUUUUUUAGACAUAAAUAUGUCUAAUUUAAAUAAAUUAGAGUCAUUAUUAAAUUAACUAAUUAUUUUAAAAUCAUAAUUCAAUAAUAAUUAUUUAUUAAUCAUAAUAUUUUAAAAUUAGAAGAUUAUUUUGCAUCGUAUAUAUANNNNNNNNNNNNNNNNNNNNNNNNNNNNNNNNNNNNNNNNNNNNNNNNNNNNNNNNNNNNNNNNNNNNNNNNNNNNNNNNNNNNNNNNNNNNNNNNNNNNNNNNNNNNNNNNNNNNNNNNNNNNNNNNNNNNNNNNNNNNNNNNNNNNNNNNNNNNNNNNNNNNNNNNNNNNNNNNNNNNNNNNNNNNNNNNNNNNNNNNNNNNNNNNNNNNNNNNNNNNNNNNNNNNNNNNNNNNNNNNNNNNNNNNNNNNNNNNNNNNNNNNNNNNNNNNNNNNNNNNNNNNNNNNNNNNNNNNNNNNNNNNNNNNNNNNNNNNNNNNNNNNNNNNNNNNNNNNNNNNNNNNNNNNNNNNNNNNNNNNNNNNNNNNNNNNNNNNNNNNNNNNNNNNNNNNNNNNNNNNNNNNNNNNNNNNNNNNNNNNNNNNNNNNNNNNNNNNNNNNNNNNNNNNNNNNNNNNNNNNNNNNNNNNNNNNNNNNNNNNNNNNNNNNNNNNNNNNNNNNNNNNNNNNNNNNNNNNNNNNNNNNNNNNNNNNNNNNNNNNNNNNNNNNNNNNNNNNNNNNNNNNNNNNNNNNNNNNNNNNNNNNNNNNNNNNNNNNNNNNNNNNNNNNNNNNNNNNNNNNNNNNNNNNNNNNNNNNNNNNNNNNNNNNNNNNNNNNNNNNNNNNNNNNNNNNNNNNNNNNNNNNNNNNNNNNNNNNNNNNNNNNNNNNNNNNNNUAUAUAUAUAUAUAUAUAUAUAUAUAUAUAUAUAUAUAUAUAUAUAUAUAUAUAUAUAUAUAUAUAUAUAUAGUUUUACGAUCUUAACUUAGAGUUAAAUCAUGACCACAUAAUAUAAAUCAUAUAAAUUGAGUCAUAUAUAAUCAAAUUAUACUUGAUCAUAUAAGUUAAAUUAUAUUUGAUUAUAUGAAUUAAGUCAUAUCUAACUUUAUAAGUUUGGUUAUAUUUAGUCACUUAUGUUAAGUCAUACCUAAUCACAUGAAUUUGAUCAUGUCUAAUCACACGGGCUAAAUCAUGCUUGAUCACAUGUAACGUAUUAUGCUUAGUCAUACUAGCUGAGUUAUACCUGAUCAUAUGUGCUAAGUCAUAACUAUUAAAUGAGUUAGACAAUGCUUGACCACAUUUGAUGAGUUAUGUUUAAACAUAUAAGUUAGAUCAUACCUAGUCAGAUAGAUUGAGUAAUGUUAUAUUAUAUUUGAUUAUAUGGAUUGUGUUAUGUUGAAUCACAUCAGUUCAAUCAUACUUGGCCAUGUAGAUCGAGUGAUACUUAGUCAUGCGAGUUAGAUUGUACUUCACUACAUAGGCUAGUUUGGUCAAUCAACUUAACUAAGAUUAAAUAUCAAAUUUGACUCAUACUUGUUAAAUUAGAUUUUAACAUUUUAAAAAAAUACUUUAAAAUAUUAUAAAAAUAAUAAGUAAUCAUAAAUCUAUUAUUUUUCAUGAAUUAACUAAUUUAGAUUUAUGUUCCAAAUUUAAAAGUAAUUAAAUCUAAAAAUUCAUACUUAAUUGUUUAAAACAUAAAUACACUUUCGAUGAUCAUUAUUUAUUAAUAAUAAAAUUUUAAAUUUAAAAUAAUAAUUUUUAAUAUAUAAAUUAAAAUAAUUCUAAUAUUAAAUAAUUUUAAAAUAUAAAUAAAAAUUAAUAAUAAAAAAAUAUACUCUCCUCGUGAUCAUUUCCUCUAAGAGAGCUAGGAAUUGAGGAACGAUGAGCUUGAGCUCUCCAUAAAAGAUAAAUAAUAAUUUUAAUAAUUUUCUUAAUCAUAUUAUAUAAAUAAAAAAACUAAUUUAAAUAAAGUAAUAUAUGAUUUAAAGUAAUUAAUCGAUGUUAGAAAAUUAUCGAUGAUUACAAAAGUCAUGACUUUAUUAGAUGAUCUGCAUGAUUAUUAAAUUAAUAAAUUAUCUGUAGUCAAUCAAGCUCACCUAAUAAUUACAAGAUCUUUUGAACGUUGAUAGUUACAAUUUGUUCACUAUGUAAUCAAACAGAGAAGACAAAAUCCAGAAUAAGCUACAAGUUCCUGAAGUUUCAGAACACCUAACAUCUAUAAAAGGGAAGAGUUGAGAUGAAGCAUUAUGAAAACGAUGUAAAAGUAUAACAUGAAAAUGCAUCAAGGAAAAAAAAUAAUAUAAUUCAUCAAGAAAAAUUCAGAUCAUAAAGGGCGUUCUUUCACAUGCGGCAAACAAAAAGGUUCAAUUGUGGUUUUAAAAACAUAAUUGCCAUGCAAAAAGAAAAAUUAAUGGUUCAAGUAAAACAUAUCUAAUUUAACUUUUAACCCACGAUAGCAAACCGAAUCACUACACAGUAGGUAGGAAUAAUUAGAAACCUAUAAUUUUUGAAAUGUGUUACUUAAAAAAUCAGAAUAACUCCAGUCACCUUUUUCCACAUAAACCAUCUUUUCCCCGUAAACAAAAAAUUUAUUUCCAAUAUAUCUUUUCGUGACUAAGAAUAACAUAAGUAAACUUCUGUCAUAUAUCGGUAACAAUGACAUACUUCCCAUCUGCAUGAGACCAAAGGUCAAGAACAAAAACCUAAGAAACCAAAUAAUUAUUUCUUUAAAAAAUCAAUUUAAUAAGUUCAUCAUAUUAGUUUGACGGAUGGAUCUAAUAUGUGGGUUAUAUUAUAGAUUGAGUCUGUACACAUUGAUUUCAAUUCAAAUCAUAAUUAUUUUUUUUAAUUUUAAAUUAUACUAUCAUUAAAUUAUAAUGAAAAUAUCUGAGUGUCUUAUUAAAACAUAAUAUUAACUUAAAAUAUUGAAUAUCUAUUUUAUAAAUUUUAUUCAUAAGAAAAAAGUUAAAUAAUUAAACUUAAACUGAAAGAUUUGAUUACAAAUGAAACGGUCAAAAUAGUAUCUUGUAGAUCACUUUAUCUAUUUUUUGAUAUAAAUAAUUUAUCCUUUAAUUUUGUAUUUCUUGUGCUUAGCGAAGGGUUAUACACACUGCAGAUAAAAGCGGGUUGUUUGUCUUAGGGUGCCGCUGCGACUGCUCUCUUUCGUCCCACAAUGGCGGCUGCGACGCUCCGCACGGUACUCCGCCGCAAUAGCCUUCUGCCCUUGUUCGAAACCUGCCGCCUUCGAGAUCUCUUCUUCUUCUCCUCCUCUGUCGACCUUGCCGCCGCUGUAGGCGUCACCACAUCUCCUGAUCCCCACUUCAUGGUGGAAUACCUCGUGAACUCCUGCGGGUUCUCCCCCUCCGAGGCAGCCAAGUUCUCUAAACCCCUUGCGCACCUCCGAUCCACCGAGAAACCCGACGCCGUCCUUAACUUCAUGAGAUCUCAGGGCUUCGACGGCGCCGGUAUCAGAAAGUUGAUAUCUUUGAAACCAAAUUACCUAUGCGCGAACGUGGAGAAGAAGUUGGCCCCGAAGUUUCAGUUCUUACGCGAUUUGGGCCUAUCGGAGUCGGACAUCGUCGAUGCCAUCCUGAAGAACCAUGGCAUCCUCCUCUUCAACGUUCAGCGUUCCAUCGUCCCCAAAUUGGAGAUGUGGGAAAGUCUCUUGGGAUCGAGAGAGCUUGUUCUCAACCAUCUCAAGAAGACAGGAUGGUUUUUCUCCUCCAGCGUUGAGAAGACGUUGCAUCCUAACCUAAAGUUCUUGAGGGAUGAGUGCGGCAUUCCUGAAGAAAGGGUCUCCGUCGUCUUGAGAAGUCACCCACAAUUAAUCUCACGGAAACCAGAGUCUCUCCGAGCUUUGGUGGCGAGAGCCGAUGAGCUGGGGAUGCCACGGCUAUCUCGGAUGUUCGUGCGGACACUUGAUGCUCUCCUCAUGGUAAGCAAAGAAAGGUUCGAGGCCAAGGUCGAGCUCAUGAGGAGCUUCGGGUGGUCGGAGUCGGAGUUUUCUUCUGCAGUCAGGAAAGCACCCACCUUCUUAUGCAUCUCCCUCGAUAUGAUGCGCAGAAAAAUGGAAUUUUUUAUCAAUGUAGUCGGGUACACCCCUUCCUUCAUCGCCUCCCAACCAACUAUCUUGCUAUAUAGUCUGCAGAAGAGGGUCAUUCCUCGGUUUCAUGUGACGGAGAUGUUGAAAUCGAAAGGAUUGUGGACUGGACAAUGCAAGUUUGUAUGUAUUCUCAUAAUGUCAGAUACCAAAUUCAUGGAGAAGUUUGUUCUCCCUCACAAAGAAAAUGUCCCUGAGCUGCUUGAUAUUAUGAGAGUUGCUGGCGCGUGUAAAAGAAAUGAUACCUUUCAUUUGGCAUCGGAGGAUGAGAAAGGGCUUAACUGAUUGUCUGAUUUGUGACGACGAAGGUAUAUUAUUCCCCUAAUUUGAGAUUUUGGAAAUUUUAUGCAAAGAACUUAUCUAAAGGUGUAUUGAGGUGUGGGAUAUUUCUUUUAUGACAAGCUAGAUUUGCAUUGAUUAUAAAUCAAAUUUGUUCUGUCUUACUGAUUAUUAGCUUAAAUUCUUUUCUGAUUGUCUUUGGCGUAGUAUUGUUGGUUUGUAUGUAAACUGCAUGUUUUAAAAAUUCUACAUAACAGUCCAACUGAGAUGACCUUUGGAUCUAUGGAAGGGACUUUUGGCUUUUGUCCAAAUUAAUUCCUAUUCCAGAUUGAAGAGUCAUAUUUCAGAUCAAGUUAUGCAGCAAGUAUAAACAAAAUAUCACCAAAGAUCACAGGAAGUUGCUGAGCAGUAGUUGCUCUAACGAUUGAAGUGGCUGAAAAACACUUAAACUUUUUUGCAAACUUAUUUAUUUAUGUACUAAUUGGAAUAUUCAAAUUUGAUUGAUGCAUUGUAAUAUUAGUAUGCAGUGGCUUCAAUGGAAUUUGAAAGACCAGUUGCACUGGGUUGAUCAGGAGUCACCAGCUCUUCUGAAAUGUCUUCAACCGCCUUUGGAAUUGCUAAAGCUUUUCUCGCAUCAACAAACUCUUGCAUGCCUCCAUAGGCUUCUGCUCGUCCACUCUUUGUGAUUCCAGGUGCAGAUCUCUUCAUUCUUGGAGUUCAUUCUUGGAUUUGGUGGAUGCAACUUGUCAUCAUCAUAGCUGAAGCUUCUGCUCCACUUGAAAGCCUUCAGAAGGCUGCACAACUAAAUUUCUCCAACAUCUGAAUCGAACUAAUUCACUUGAGUUAGUCGAUUCGCUGGUUCCUUCUUUUAUUUCUUUGUUCAAGUCUUUAUGUUGUCGAUGUGGUCCAUGUUUCCCGCAUCAUGAAAGGCGUGGUCCAUUGGCUAGUCAAUCUUGGAUAGACUGUAAAUUCUCUAUGUUUUUUUGGGUCUUGUAAUGAUAGAUCAGUCUAGCUCAGUAUCUAAUCCAGUUUAAUCUUUAAUGAAAUUUCUCCUUUUUCGGUUAAAAAAAAAAAAACUCUAACAUGCUAACUAACAUGUAAGCUCAGUAGGUUUAAAAGUGACAAUUAAAUGUGUAUUGCAAGAUUCUGUAAUUGGCUUUAGUUGUUGUUGUAGAGUUUAUGAUCAUUUACAUCACUAGUAUUUCAGAUUUAUGUACACUAUCUUGACCCGUUCUCAACCAGUAUUCUUCUGGCUAUCCAUGUCUUUGUGCAUGUAUUCGGUAUCUCAUUUCAGAUAGGGUCAUAAGAUCAUCACUCAUCUUUUUCAAUGCCCGAAAUGUGUUUUGGAUUUUGAUAUCAGUUGUUCUAUCUUUAUUAUCCGUCCCAAAUCUUUAUGUCAACUCAAGUCUCAAUUUUGGGUAGAAAGACAUCAAUGAAAUGAAUAUAUGGAAGGAACUGAGAAAAGUAGAAUUCAUAAAUUUAAAUAAGAUAAUUAGUCAAAGCAAAAUUAUGCACUUAUAUAUCAUGUUAAUGAACCAAUGCAACGUGAACAUACAACAACAUGCGCAUUUUCAAACAAGGAUAGAGUAUUUAAUAGAUGAUUAAUGGAUGAUCACGAAGUUGGCAUGUAUAGAUUAGAUUGAUGUCUUCAGAUUGAAAUGUGGCCUGCUAUAAUUAACAAGUGUCUUGUUACAGAUAUAGUAUAUUGUUGUACAGUCAAUUUUAAUUAAAUAUCAUAUAAUCCAUGAUAACUUCAAUCGAGCAAUUUUUUUUUAAAUUUUUACGAGUCAUAAGUACUAUUCAAGACAUAUUAAUUUAAACACAAGAAAUCAAGUUUUGAAGGAUCAUAAGAUUGUUUUUUUUUUUCAAAUCUGGUGUAGCAAUAAAUUAUUUUUGGAUCAAAUAAAUGAAUAAUUUUAUAUUUUUUAAAGAUAUAAAAUCAUAUAAAUAUUUUGUAGAUUACUUUAUCCAUAAUUUUGAUAUAAAUAAUUUAUUUCUAUAAUUUUAAUCUCUCCUGCAUAGCGAAUGAUAGUUGUUGAAAUUAUAAUGCUCUUGUGACUCUCCUUUAUUCUAAAAUGAUUAUUGUAAAGCUUGUUUUCAUCCUUAAUCAUGAUGACUUCCUAUCCCUAUUUGAAACCUAUGGCUUUCGAGGUUUUUUUUUUUUUACUUCAUCACUGAUUGCAUGUUCUAUCAAAUUAGCUGAAAAGAUAAGGACGAUUGAGGAUGAACUCAACGUUUAAUAAGAAGAAGUGAACUGCAUUAUGGAACUACGACUCAAAUGCGUCUCAUGUCCUGUUGUGUACAAGCAAAAGGAUGACCUCCACAAACUGAUGGGUGAAUCCAACAAACGAUCGAGAUGGAAGCACCUCUGCCGAGCACAUUCCACGCCUGGGAGCAUCCCCAUCAUCAUCAGACAAUAGUACAUAUGUUGACCUAUGUACGAGUAUACAACAUGAAAAGGGAAGCACUUAGUUAGCUUUCAACUCUUCUUCUUCCUCCUUUGAGAACUAACGGGGGAUGUCGAGUGAGCUAAUGGGGGAUGCAGGAGGCCACAUAAAGAAGAGCAGGUAAGGAGAUAGAGGAAAAAUGAUUCUGGAGGCCUUAGUAGUCAAGGACAUGGCACUAUCAUUGUCUCUAUCAUCCUCUCUUCCCCCACGUAUAAUUUAGCCCUGCUUUGGCUCAAUGCAUUAUGCAAUGACAAACCAACAAAGUGAGUUUUCAUAGGUACAUUUUGAUAUCGGCAUUUUGAUAUCCGUGAACAUGCAUUGGUACAUACAUUAAUAUCUAAAACCUUUAAUCAUAAAAUGUUUUGAUUUGAGUACUUGAAACUCAAAGAAUUUCAUGAAACAACAAUCUCAUAAAUUAAAUCACUAGAAAGAUUAAUUUAUACGACUACUAUGUAUCUGUUCUUCAUACUCUGCUACCAUACAACUUUAACGUAUGGAGAGUCACAAUAACGAACAUCUGCAUAUAUAGUUUUAUGAUCUUAACUUAGAGUUAAAUCAUAACCACAUAAAAUAGGUCAUAUAAAUCGAGUCAUAUAUAAUCAAUCAAAUAGAUUGAAUUAUACUUGAUUUAGAAAUUAAAUUAUAUUUGAUUAUAUGAGUUAAAUCAUAUCUAACUAUAUAUAGUUACAUUUGUUAAGUCAUACUUAAUCACAUUAAUUGAAUUAGAUGAUGUCUAAUUAUGGGCUAAAUUAUGUUUGAUCACAUAUAAUUGAUUAUGCUUGGUCAUACUAACUGAGUUAUACUUAAUCAUAUGUGCUAAGCCAUAACUGCCAAAUAAGUUAGACAAUCCUUGAUCACAUAGGAUGAGUUAUGUUUAACCAAAUAAGUUAGAUCAUACUUGAUCACAUAGAUUGAGUUAUGUCUAACUACAUAAAUUAUAUUAUAUUUGAUUACAUGGAUUGUGUUAUUUUGAACCACACAAAACGUACUUGCCUACAUAGAUUGAGUAAUACUUAAUCACGUCAAUUAGAUUAUACUUAACCACAUAGACUGGUUUGAUCAAUCAACUUAACUAAGGUUAAAUCUCGACUCAUACUUGUUAAAUUAGAUUUUAAUAUUUUUAAAAAUAUUUUAAAAUAUUAUAAAAUAAUAAUUAAUCAUAAAUCUAUUAAUUUUCAUAAAUUAACUAAUUUAGAUUUAUGUUCCAAAUUUAAAAGUAAUUAAAUCAUAAAAAUUCAUACUUAAUUAAUUAAAACAUAAAUAUACUUUCAAUAAUCAUUAUUUAUUAAUCAUAAAAUUUUAAAAUAAAAUUAUUAUUUUUAUAACAUAUAAAUUAAAAAUAAUUCUAAUAUUAAAUAUUUUAAAAAUAUAAAUGAAAAAAAUCUACUCUCCUCAUGAUCAUUUCCUCUGAGAACCUUUCCCCCUCGGAGCUAGGAACAACGAGGAAAGAUGAGCUUGAGCUCUCCAUAAACGAUAAAUAAUAAUUUUAAUAUUUUUUAAUCAUAUUAUAUAAAUAAAAUACUAAUUUAAAUAAAGUAAUACAUGAUUUAAAGUAAUUAAUUGAUGUUAGAAAAUUAUGGAUGAUUACAAAAGUCACGACUUUAUUGGAUGAUCUGCAUGAUUAUUAAACUAAUAAAUUAUCUGUAGUCAAUCAAGCUCACCUAACAAUUACAAGAUCUUUUGAAUGUUGAUUCUUGCAAUUUGUUAACUAUGUAAUCAAACAGAGAAGACGAAAUCCAGAAUAAGCUACAAGUUCCUGAAGUCUCAGAACACCUAACAUCCAUAAAAGGGAAGAGUUCAGCUGAAGCAUUGUGAAAACGAUGGAAAAAUAUAAUAUGAAAAUGCACCAAGGAAAAAGAAAACAUAAUCCAUCAAGACAAAUUUACGGCUUUCACAUGCAUGCAUGGCAAACAAAAAGGUCCAAUUAUGAUCUUAAAAACAUAAUUUUCAUGCAAAAAGAAAAAUUAAUGGUUCAAGUAAGACAUAUCUUAAUAAGAGUAAUUUAACUUUUAACCCACGAUACGAAGCCGAAUCACUACAUAGUAAUAAAAAACUCACAGUUAUUGGAAUGUGUUACUUAAAAACUGGGAGUAACUAUAGUAACAAUUUCCCCAUAAACCAAAAAUUUAUUUCUACUAUAUCUUUCCUUGACUAAGAAUAACAUCGAUCGGUAAUAAUGACAUAAUUCCCAUCUGCAGUAGAGCAAAGGCCAAGAACAAAAACCUGAGAAACCAAAUAAUUCUUUCUUAAAAAAAUUAAUUUCAUAAGUUCAUAUCAAGUUGUCAACCAAUAAAAUUAUCAAACGUAGUAUCAUUGUUGGAUCUGCGGGAUAUGGUAUAGCUUGUGGGUUGAGUCGGACAAACUAAUUGAUUACAAUUUAAAUUAUAAUUACUUUUUAAAUUUUAAAUUAUACUUUCAUGAAAUUAUAAUAAAAAUAUCUAACAAUUACCAUUGUGUUAUUAAAACAUAAUAUUAACUUAAAAUGUUGAAUAUCUAUUUUAUAAAUUUUAUUCAUAAGAAAAAUUUAUCCAUAUUUUUUAUAUAAAUAAUUUAUUCCUAUAAUUUUGUAUUUCUUGUGCUUAGCGACGGGUUAUACAGACUACAGAUAAAAGCGGGUUGUUUGUAUUAGGGUCCCGCUGCGGCUGCUCUCUUUCGUCCCACAAUGGCGACUGCGACGCUCCGCUCCGUGCUCCGCCGCAAUGGCCUCCUUCCCUUGUUCGAAACCCACCGCCUUCGAGAUCUCCUCUUCUUCUCCUCCUCUGUCGACCCUGCGGCCGCCGUAGGCGGCACCAUAUCUCCAGAUCCCCACUUCAUGGUGAAAUACCUCGUGAGCUCCUGCGGGUUCUCCCCCACCGAGGCAGCCAAGGUCUCUAAACCCCUUGCGCACCUCCGAGCCACUGAGAAACCCGACGCCGUCCUUAACUUCUUGAGAUCUCAGGGCUUCGACGGCGCCGGUAUCAGGAAGGUGAUAUCUGCGGAUCCCAGAUACUUAUGCUACAACGUGGAGAAGAACCUCGCCUCGAAGUUUCAGUUCUUACGCGAUUUGGGCCUAUCGGAGUCGGACAUCGUCGAUGUCAUCUGGAAUAACCAUGAGAUCCUCUGCCGCAACGUUCACCGUUCCCUUGUCCCCAAAUUGGAGAUGUGGGAAAGUCUCUUGGGAUCGAGAGAGCUUGUUCUCAAGCGUCUCAAGAAGACAGGAUGGUUUUUCUUCCCCAGCGUUGAGAAGACAUUGCAUCCUAACCUAAAGUUCUUGAGGGAUGAGUGCGGCAUUCCUGAAGAAAGGGUCUCUGUCGUCUUGAGAAGUCACCCAAAAUUAAUCUCACAGAAACCAGAGUCUCUCCGAGCUUUGGUGGCGAGAGCCGAUGAGCUGGGGAUGCCACGGCAAUCUCGGAUGUUCAUGUGGACACUUGAUGUUUUCCACAACGUAAGCAAAGAAAGGUUCGAGGCCAAGGUCGAGCUCAUGAGGAGCUUCGGGUGGUCCGAGUCGGAGUUUUCUUCUGCAGUCAUGAAAGCACCCACCUUCUUAUGCAUCUCCCUCGAUAUGUUGCGCAGAAAAGUGGAAUUUUUUAUCAAUGUAGUCGGUUUCACCCCUUCCUUCAUCGCCGACAAACCAAAUCUCUUGCUAUAUAGUCUGCAGAAGAGGGUAAUUCCUCGGUUUCGUGUCACAGAGAUGUUGAAAUCGAAGGGAUUGUGGACUGGACAAGGCAAGUUUACAUGCAUUCUCACAUUAUCAGAUACCAAAUUCACUGAGAAGUUUGUUCUCCCUCACAAAGAAAAUGUUCCUGAGCUGCUUGAUAUUUUGAGAGUUGCGGGCGUGUGUAAAGGAAAAUGAUACCUUUCAUUUGGUAUCGGAGGAUGAGAAAGGGCUUAGCCGAUGGUCUGAUUUGCCAACAACGAAGGUAGAUUAUUCCCCUAAUUUGAGAUUUUGGAAAUAGAAUGCAAAGGGCUUAUCAAAAGGUGUAUUGAGGUGUGGGAUUUUUCUUUAAUGGCAAGCUAGAUUAGCAUUGAUUAGAAACCAAAUUUGUUCUGUCUUACUGAUUGUUAGCUUAAAUUAUUUUCUGAUUGUCUUUGGCAUAGUAUUGUUGCUUUGUCUGUAAACUGCAUGUUUUAAAAAUUCUACUUAACAGUCCAACUGAGAUGACCUUCGGAUCUAUCGGAGGGGCUUUUGGCUUUUGUCCAAAUUAAUUCAAAUUCCGGAUGGGAUUUUGGUUGUUGGGUAAGUCUCAAAGAAUCAUAGUUUAGAUCAAGUUAUGCAGUAAUUAUAUACAAAAUAUCACCAAAGAUCACAGGAAGUUGCUGAGUGGUAGUUGGUCUAACUAUUUAAGUGACUGAAAAAAUCAUAGAACAGUAAAGAGUUGUUUCUGUAAUUUGUUUUGAAAUGAGUCAGUCACCCGAUUUAUGGAUUUGGAUAUGUCUAAGAAGGCUUCUUUGCAUACUUAUUUAUUUGUGUGCUAAUUGGAUAUUGAAAUUUGAUUUAUGCAUUGUAAUAUUAGUAUGCAGUGGCUUCAAUGGAGUUUGAAAGAGCAGUUGCAUUGGGUUGAUCAGGAGUCACCAGCUUUAGCACUAAUUUUGUUUCAAGGUUGUAUAGACUUUUCUCUGAGCAUCAAAACUUGAGUAUGCUAUUCUGAAAUGUCUUCUGCCUCAUUUGGAAUUGCUAAAGCUUUUCCUGCAUCAACAAAUUCUGACUUGCCUCCGGGGGCUUCAGCUCAUCCACCCUUUGUGAUUUGGUUAGCUGAUCUCUUCAUUCUUGGAGUCUGUGGUGUGGAGAGUAACUACAAGGAGCAUCCUCCAGAUACAUACUCUUACAAUCUCACAACUUCCUUGCAUAUAAAUCUUCACUUGACAAACCACCCAUAAGAGAAUUCCCAACAGAGACUAGAGUUAUAUCAGAGUCACAUUCAAUCAAUUUUGGAUUGGUAUUCACUUAUCUCACCUUGGAGUCAUUGCUCAGUUACUUGGUUCUUUCCGACAUUGUAACUAGUUGUCUAACUGGGUCAAAAAAAUAUUUGACCAUGUGCAUCAAACAUUUUUCUCAUCAGACCAUUUUUAUUGUAGAUUGACUUUUCACAAUGAGAACCCCCUUUGUACAUUGUUGUUACCUCAUUAGAUCAAGGGUUCAUCAUAAUCAACAAAAUUAUUUCCAUGGAAUGUCAAUCUUCACAUAUAUGCUGCAUCACAAUUAUCCUACGUGAAAUUUUAGGAAUAUAUACUUUGGAAGUCAUCUACAGAUUGUUCACAAUCAGAUAUAAAACUGCUGCCAUGCCACAAGACUUCAGUGAUCACUUUACCAAUUUGGAUAGUUGUUCUACCCCAUUUGGGUCUCACAGUAAUGCAACGAACACUCACCAUCCCACAACAUUUGCGAUCAAUGGUGUUGUCCUAAAACGUUCCAUCAAGAGAAGAUACAUAAUCACAAUGCUUAUGCUUACAGCAUUAUCCGUAGCUACAGUCUACAGUGAUUUCUCCAUCAUAACAACAAUAAGUUAAUGUGCUGAAUAAAUUGACAAUAACUACUACUCUUACUUCCACCAUGAUCGUUGCAAUGUAUUGAGGAUUUUAACUGUCAUGUCAAUCAACAAAAAAUACAAAUAAUGGCAGUGCAACAUACCAUCGCUAUAUCUAGUACUGCAUAUCUCAUUAGAGAGAAUCCCCAUCUCAAUCAACUCUUGUAUUCAGUCAUAUGCCAAUGUAGUGCUCAUCUCCAGCCACAAAUUCUAAAAAUCAUGCUAGUGAAUAAAGCAAAUGUAAGUUCUGGCAACAUUACAUUCCCUUCUCUUUCUCUUUUGUCUUUCCCUGCCACUACCUUCCCCUCACCAUGACCUUUGCAGCUAUCCGCCAAAAGCUCUAAACCUGGAUGCCUUUAAUGACAUGGAGCAAUUAGAAAUGUGGAAGAAAGAGAAAAACAACCAUGUCUUCCAUGCAGACUCAGUAUUACUAGGUUGCUCUCAAAUUGAGAAACCAUCAGGAUAUUGGAGAAUCUAAUGUCAACUUUCUCCUUAAAUUCCCUCUUUUCCUCAAAUAGGUUUCCAAAAUCAGAACUUUACUGUAGACAUCAUCAAUUGCAUACAAGUCCAUGCUACAAUUACUAGCAAAGAAAUAGUAUACUUUCUAUGUGCAGCUAAGAUCCAACACAAGUCUAUUCUUGUCAAUCAUAUUGACAAGAUGUUUAAGUCGCUCAGGAUUCAUUUUCCCAUCGCUGAAAAUAUACUGCAAGAGAGUAACAAGUAUUGGUGGUUUAGGCCCAACAAAUGGGAAUAAAUCAGUACACAAUUUUCAACAGACAAAGUGCCUGCAUAACUACAGCUGAAUUCUGAAGAUUUUGGACGAUCAGGAAAUUGAGGUUGUCCCCCAACUUUGCCACCUAUAUUUUCGGCUCCUAAUUAUUUUUAUAUAUUUAUAAAAGUGAGAAAGUAGCUCUUGGUAUCGGAAUUCAACAUAUAUAAGCAUUUAAUAGAACUAGUAAUCAAAAUAUGAUGUAAUCAACAAAAGACAUAAAAUCAAUAAGAAAUUUCUAUUGUAUAUUUUGUAUAUAAAUAAAGCAUUAUCUAAAAAUAAACUUUUCAGUUCUUUUUACUAUUUAUACUGUGUAUAUAUGCCAAGCGAAAGAAUAAAAGACAUUCUACACUAAGGAGGUAUGUUCAUGUCCAAAUGCACAAGGGGAUUCUUGACAAGAGCCGUAUCCCUUCUGGUAUGUUGAAUUGAUAGCUAUAAAUAAGUCAUUAAACUAUCAAUGUGUUACAUAAAAAAGGAUGAAUCAAUAGAGUUCUCUUAACAUUCUUUCUUUUUUCCUCGAUAAUCAUCUUUUGAUCUGGGAGUUGGUUUAGGCUUAUGAAUGUGAUUGGAUUGCGAACAUUCUACAUGCAAGUAAAUAAAUACAUACCGACGUAACAAUCACAUGACUUGCCCCUUCUUCAAGAUAAUUCAUGGCAUUAGAUCCCACCUCCAACUUGCAUACCACCUACAGUUACAAUUCAACAAAGCAAGAAAACAUUAAAGUAGAAACUUGAAUUCGAAAAAAAGAAGAACUACAAAGAGAAAGGAAAAGACAUGACUUGAAUGAUAAUGCGUCAAAUCUUUAUGUCGACCUACAUAAGUCUCCAAUUUGGUAAGAUGGACAUUGAUGAAAUGAACGUAGAAGGAACUGAGAAAAGCAAAAUUCAUAAAUUUGAAGAAGACAAGUUAUUAAAGUAAAAUUAUGCACUUAUACCAUGUUAAUGAACCGUGACAAUGUGAACAUACAACAAAAUGCACAUUUACACACGAAGGAUAAGAUACCUAUGGAUGAUCACGAAGUUACCAGGGUAAGCACGAAGGGCCUCGAAGGCCGCAGAUUGGCUUGCGGCGUCGGCGCCAAGCAUUAUGACAUGGCCACCCUUGAGCCCGUCCUUCUUGUACAGAUUCGCAAACUCUGCCGGCAACUUCUCCGACUCGAAGUUGGUCACCAUGUCCGACGCGCCGCCGUCUGUCGAAUCACGAAGCGUGGAUCCCACGAUUUGUUUCACUUUAUCCUACCACUUUGGAUCUCGUUCUACUCAGCGGUGCCAAGAGAACCCGAGGAGAAAGCAAGAGAAGAAUGCGCAGUACCUUGUGGAUGUCGAUGCAGGGGCGGAACCGGACGGUACAGCUGAUCGAGCGAGGCUUGCUGUGCUUCCUCCCCAUCCUCCAAUGGCUCGCGGGGUGGGAAGAAGACAACGGGUUGCGAAGAGGGAUCGGGGUCGAAGGAGACGACCGGAGACUAGGGAGCGUUCGAGUAGUCAGUGGCAUCCCUUCGGGUGGAGCUGCGAUGAGGAGAGAGGAGGUGGUGGCGGACGCGGGCGACGUAGCGGCGUAAGUGCGGGGGUUGGCGCGGCGAUACCAGCGAUUCCACGAACAAUGUGAUCAAGUGGAAGAGAUCAUAUGCACGGGGAUACACUUUUGAUCAAGACCGUUCAUUUCUAGAAUAACGGUCGGAUGCUCAUCCUCAACUCGGUCCCGCGUGGUGUUUACUGUGCAUGUAUGAUCCACUUCCGUGGCGCUUUGAGACGCGUGCACGGUAUAGAUUGAUGCCUCCAAUUUGUGUCCUGAAAUGUGUUGUGCUUCAAUUAACAAUAUAUUAAUGCACAGUCAAAUUUAACUAUAACAUAUGUUAAGCAUUAUCAACUUUAAUCAAGAAUUUUUACUACAUUUCUACAUGUCAUAAAUAUUAAUUAAGGUAUAUUAAUUCAGACAAAAAAAUCAACACAAAAUUUUUUUUUUCGCUUUGGCAAUUAAUAAUUUUAUAUUUUAAAGUGUGAGUGAUUAGGAUGAUUUAUAAAAAAAACCUAUAAUUUUAAGAUUUUUUUAAUAGCACUUCAUUUUUACCUUAUAACAUAGAAAAUUUUUAUAUAUAGGCUUGGCUCAAUUUUCAGGCAUAACUGGUACAUUCCAAAAUAACUAUGACUCUGACAUCUUUACCCUUGGCCAUGAACCUCCUUUGAAUUUUGGAUCGGCUUAACUCUUUUUAUUUUCUAAGUAUUUCGAUAUAAUUAUCAUUUCAUUAUAUAAUGAUAAUUAAUAUUAUAUUAAUGGAGUAACAAUGUAUCUCCACUUAUUUCAAACUAUUAUAUGUUAGUCCUGGCUUUUUUUUCUUAUCAAUGAUCAUAAUAUGUAAUGAUCCUUUUAUUUUAUUUUAUUUUAUGCGAGAGUCAAGAACCAAUAUUACUAGACAUAAGAUAGAGUAGGGCAAUUGAUGAGAUGAAGAUACCAAGAAGCAUAUAAGCAUAUAAAAAGUGAUAAUAAGUUGUGAUUGUUGAAUCUCGGAUUUUGAUGAUGAAACUAAUUGAUUGUAUUUAGAUGUUUAAUUGUAUUUUGAGUGAUGCAGGUCUACUCGAUCAGGAUUAGACAGUUAACACGGGAGGAAUUGACGUUGCGCCGGAGGAGAUCACGUUAGGAUAUUGGAUGGCAGAAGGCUUCGGACGUCGGGCAUCGGGCCAAGAGCGGAAUUGCGCCAAGGAUAUCGGGGUUGCAGAGGUCAACCGCCGAUUGGGCAACAAGCCGCAAGAGAGGACAAUGAGCUGAAGAAUCGGACGAAGCGCUAACCAAUGAUGUGUCGGGCAACAGAAUGUCAAUUCGCGUUGAAAUAAUUGUCUAGAUCAAAGUAGAGUUUUGGCUUGUGUGUGCAGGAUUAACUACGAUAACGACGAAGAUAUAAAGCGAAACAAAGUGUCGGAGUCAAGCGCGAAGGAUUUGUUGCGAGUUUGAGAGUUCGACGGAAGUCCGAAGGUUCGUCGGGAAUGUUGCCGGAACUAGCCGAGAAUGAGUAGGGAGCUUGCCGAAAGGUUUUUCGGAAGCUCGCCGGAAGGUUCGUUGGAAGUUCGCGGAGCUCACCGAGAAAGAUCGGAGCUUGCCGAAGAAGCUAGUUGGAACUCGCCAAGAUCAAAUUGUGAAGUCUAGGAGCUUGCCGGGAGUCCGCAGAAUGGUUUUCGAGAGUUCGUCGGAAGACCGCCGGAAGUUUGCCGGAAGCUCACCGGAAAAAGUCUUGAAUUGCAGACUUUGUAAUAGCUUAGGAAAUGUCUUUAAAUUCGUAGUUAGCACGUUAAUUAGGGUUAGGAUUAGGUGUUAAUCCUAUAAUCCAAGUAGGGGCCAAUUGAGCUUGAGUUCGGACUGGUUUGAGCCAAGUUUGGAGCCCAACCAGUGAGCUGAAAUAGUGUAGGCGGUGGCACCGCCCAGAACCCGAGAACUGAGCGAUGGCACCGCUAGCCUCGGGAACCCAAGAGAAUUCAAAAUUUGGAGCCUAAAUUUGAAUCCUCUUGGGGCCUAUAAAUACCCCUCAAUUCUCAACUGAGAAGACAACAUUUGAGAAAGCAAAUAUAUUGAGAUAAAAGUCUUAGAGAAGUCUUUAGCAAGUCUUGUUCUCAAUUUUUGAGUGUUCACCUCCUUCUUUCUCUUAAAAAAUUUGUAAGAGUGUGAACCAUUUGCAAAAGGUUGUAAGAGGGGUAUUUGUCCUUCCCCUUCAAAAAGAUUUGUUAGUGGAAGUUGGGAGCCUCAUUGAAGAAGGUUUCGCAAGUCAAUGUAGGUCAUUUGACCGAACCACUUUAAAUUGACGUGUUCUCUGGUUUGCAUUUACUUAUUGCUAUUUACCUUACUGCAAACCUUCGUACGUACUUUACUUUCUCGUUACUUUUGCUGCACACCUUUACGAAUACGCUUAAGUUAAGCACUUUCGAGUUCGAUUUUUAUCGUACGAAAUAUUUUUCAAAACCGACGUUUUAAUCUACUGCACUAAUUCACCCCCCACCCCUCUUAGUGCCGCUUCGAUCCUAACAGUGGUAAGAUAAUCAUUCUUAAAAUAAUAUUUAUAUAAAAUUUUAAAACUUAGAGCGUUGUAGGAGACAAACAUGUGUGAUUUUCUAAAAACAGAUAAAAUUAUAUAAAUAUUAUAUAGAUAAUUUUAUCCAUAUUUUUAUAUAUAAAUAAUUUAUUCCUGUAAUUUUGGUUACACAAGCUACAUAUAGGAAUUAGGGUUUCGCUACAGGUGCUAUCUUUUGUCCCACAAUGGCGGCUGUUACGAUCCGCUCCGUACUCCGCCGCAAUAGCCUUCUGCCCCUGUUCGAAACGUGCCGCCUUCGAGAUCUCUUCUUCUUCUCCUCCUCUGUCGACCCUGCCGCCGCUGUAGGCGUCACCAUAUCUCCAGAUCCCAACUUCAUGGUGGAAUACCUCGUGAACUCCUGUGGGUUCUCCCCCCUCCGAGGCAGCCAAGUUCUCUAAACCCCUUGCGCACCUCCGAUCCACCGAGAAACCAGACGCCGUCCUUAACUUCAUGAGAUCUCAGGGCUUCGACGGCGCCGGUAUCAGGAAGGUGAUAUCUGGGGAUCCCAGAUACUUAUGCUGCAACGUGGAGAAGAACCUCACCCCGAAGUUUCAGUUCUUACGCGAUUUGGGCCUAUCGGAGUCUGACAUCGUCGAUGUCAUCCGGAAUAACAAUGAGAUCCUCUGCCGCAACGUUCACCGUUCCUUCGUCCCCAGAUUGGAGUUGUGGGAAAGUAUCUUGGGAUCGAGAGAGCUUGUUCUCAAGCAUCUCAAGAAGACAGGAUGGUUUUUCUUUCCCAGCGUUGAGAAGACAUUGCAUCCUAACCUAAAAUUCUUGAGGGAUGAGUGCGGCAUUCCUGAAGAAAGGCUCUCUCUCGUCUUGAGAAGUCACCCACAAUUAAUCUCACAGAAACCAGACUCUCUCCGAGCUUUGGUGGCGAGAGCCGAUGAGCUGGGGAUGCCACGGCAAUCUCGGAUGUUCAUGUGGACACUUAAUAUUCUCCAGAGGGUAAGCAGAGAAAGGUUCGAGGCCAAGGUCGAGCUCAUGAGGUUUUUCGGGUGGUCGGUGUCGGAGUUUUCUUCUGCAGUCAGGAAAAAUCCCACUUUCUUAGGCAUUUCCCUCGAUAUGAUGUGGAGAAAAGUGGAUUUUUUUUAUCAAUGUGGUCGGUUGCACCCCUUCCUUCAUCGCCGACAAAUCAAAUCUCUUGCUAUUUAGUCUGCAGAAGAGGGUAAUUCCUCGGUUUCGUGUCACAGAGAUGUUGAAAUCGAAAGGAUUGUGGACUGGACAAGGCUAGUUUACAUGCAUUCUCACAUUAUCAGACACCAAGUUCAUUGAGAAGUUUGUUCUCCCUCACAAAGAAAGCUUGAUAUUUUGGGAGUUGUGGGCGUGUGUAAAGGAAAAUGAUACCUUUCAUUUGGUAUCGGAGGCUGAGAAAGGGCUUAGCUGAUGGUCUAAUUUGUCCACGACAAAAGGUAGAUUAUUCCCCUAAUUUGAGAUUUGGGAAUUUUCUGCAAAGGGCUUAUCUAAAGGUCCAUUUAGGUGUGGGAUUUUUCUUUUAUGACAAGCUAGCUAGGUUAACAUUGAUUAUAAAUCAAAUUUGUUCUGUCUUACUGAUUGCUAGCUUAAAUUAUUUUCUGAUUGUCUUUGGCAUAGUAUUGUUGCUUUGUACGUUAGCUGCAAGUUUUAAAAUUUCUACCUAACAGUCCAACUGAGAUGACCUUCGGAUCUAUCGUAGGGACAUUUGGCUUUUGUCCAAAUUAAUUCCAAUUCCGGAUGGGAUUUUGGUUGUUGGGUAAGUCUCAAAGAGUCCUAUUUUAGAUCAACUUAUGCAGUAAGUAUAUACAAAAUAUCACCAAAGAUCACAGGAAGUUGCUGAGUAGUAGUUGCUCUAACGAUUUAAGUGGCUGAAAAAAUCAUAGAACAGUAAAGAGUUGUUUCUGUAAUUUGUUUUGAAAUGAGUCGUCACCCGAUUUAUGGAUUUGGAUAUGUCUAAGAAGGCUUCUUUGCAUACUUAUUUAUUUGUGUGCUAAUUGGAUAUUUAAGUUUAAUUUAUGCAUUGUAGUAUUAGUGUGCAGUUGCUUCAAUGGAGUUUGAAAGAGCAGUUGCAUUGGGCUGAUCAGGAGUCACCAGCUUUAGUACUAACUUUGCUUCUGGGUUGUAUGGACUUUUCUCAGAGCAUCAAGACUUUGAGUAUGCUAUCCUAAAAUUUCUUCAGCCUCAUUUGGAAUUGCUAAAGCUUUUCCUGCAUCAAAAAGUCGAUUAUGAAAUCUUGAUAUGUGAGCCUCCUCCAAUAGUUGCAUCUUUAUUGAAUGAAAAUAUCUUUAUUGAAUGAUUUUCAAGAACACAAAAUCGUUUAUGAAAUAUAAUAAAAUCAUUCUUAGCUUAAAAUUUUUUUAGUUAAGAUCCCUAAGCUAUCAAAUUAGCUAUUAUCUGCAGAUGAAUAUUUUUCUUUUGAUUUUUUUUAUCCUUUCUACAAAAAAUAAUUGUACCAUUAGACAUAUUUAUUUGCCUCAAAUAAAAGUUCUAGCUUUAUAUUUACCAAAUUUGUCAUCAUAAUUUUUUUAAAAUAUUCAUAUAGGUUAUAAGAUUUAAAAAAAUUUUAUUCAAGACAUCAACAAUUAUAUUAGCCUUCCCAAGAUGAUCUUUAGGAAGUUUGAUGAUCUUCUCUAUCCCAUAUUUAAAUUAUUCUAAGUGAAAAUAUACUUGAAAUCUUAUUUAAGAUUUCAAAAGUAUAUCCAUAAAGAUAAUACCUUUAAAGUUUUAGUGCGAAAAUGUUAGAUAUUAGUUUAAGUUAUGAGUAAGAUAAGUUUAUUUCAUGAGGCUUUAAUUAUUUAUGUACAUAAGAAUUAUUUUUUAUUUUAUAUUAGAACAUAACUAAGUCUUUGAAGUGAGGUGUUACUAUACAUUACAAGACCUCAUAAAGAUCAGAAUAAUAGCUAAUUUCUCUUUCAAUUCUUCAAAACUUUAUUGACACAAUUUUACAUUCUUGUGUGUUAAUUUGGUUAAAGGUAUUGUUAUUUUUUAAAGAUCUUUUACAAAUCUUUUACAAUAUCCAAUCAUACCCAAUAAGACUUUAAACUUUGAAACAUUAAGAGGUUGUUUCCAAUUCAUCAUAGUUUCAAUUUUUUGGGGGCCAAUAGACAUAUCACACUAGAAAUUAUAUGACCAAGAAAUAUAACCUUAUUGAGAUACAAAUUGAAGUUAUUAAAUUUGACAUACAGUUUCUCUUGUCUUAAGACUUUUAAAAUUUGUCCUUAGAUAGUGUUUAUAUUUUGUUAUAUUUCCUAUUUUUGAAGUAGAUCAAAAUGUUAUCAUUGAAUAUAAUUAUAAAUUUAUCAAAAUAAGAGUGGAAUCACUUAGAUCCAUAAAAGCAACUAGUACAUUUGUGUAUUCGAAAGAUAUUACUAAAAAUUUAUAAUAAUCAUAUCUUAUUCUGAAAAUAAUUUGAUGUAUUUCUCAAUCCCUCUUAUCUUUAGUUGAUAAUACUCAAAUCUCAAAUCAAUUUUUGAGUAUACUUGAGUGCUUAAAGCUGAUUAAAUAGUUCAUCUAUCCGAGAAAAAAAAUAUUUAUUUUUUAUGAUCACUUGGUUGAGUUCUCUUUAAUCGAUGCGUAGGAUCCAUCAUUUUUCUUUAUAAACAGGUGAUGGAAACCCCAAGAUAAUAUAUUAGAUCGAAUAAAGCCAUUAUCUAAAAGUUCAUGAAUAUGCUUUUUUAACUCUAACUCAAUUGGUCUCAUUCUAUUAAGAAUUUUGGAAAUAGGUGUAGUGUCAAGUAGAAGGUCAAUUAUAAAUUCAAUUUACUUGUUCGGAUAAUCUAAGUAAAUCUUUAAGAAAAUCAUAUGAAAAAUCUUAUACAAAAGAGAUAUCUUUUAAUAUAAUAAAAAUAAAACUAAGUACUCUCAAUAUCCUUUCAAUAAUAGUUAGUAGCACUAAAAGUUGAAAUAAUAUGAUAGAGCUUUUCUUGAAGCCCAAUGAACUAAAUGAAUGUUUGAUAUUGGGGUGAGAAAAUAACAAUUUUUUGAAAAUAAUCAAUAUUAUGAAACUCUAGUAGAAUAAAGUCUACUAACAAAUCAUGACUUUCAAUAAUAACAACACAAUUUCUAAAUAAUUGAUUAGUUAUCAAAGAGUUUUUAAUUAGUGUUGCUAUUAACAAUGCAUUACUAGUUGUUUUAGGAUUCUUAUGUAGUCUCUUAAUAAAAUAAUAUGAUAUAAAAAAUAUAUGGAACCAGAAUCUAUAAGCAUAUAAUAGACAUACCAUGGAGUAUAAUUAUACCUUGAAUGAUAAAUCUUGAGGCUUCAACAUCUUAACAGGUGAGUACAUAGUUUCAAUUGAUCUCCCCUUUUAUGUUUUGACUAUUACUAUUCAUAUGUUUGCUUUGGAGUUUGACGUUGGCGUUGUUUCUAUAGGUUGUCAUUCAACAAGUGUCUUGGUUACUGACAAAAGGCAUAUAUGUUGUCCCAUGGGGCGUGAGGUGAAAAUAUGAUCAAUCUUUUCAUAUAUAUAACAACUUAGGACAACUUGAUUACUAAGAGCUCGUAUAUAGUAAUGUCAAGAUUAUCUGCUCUUGCCCUUCUUUGAUGGUCCAAAAUAUGAUCCCCUAUAUAUAGAUGGUACAACACUAAAAGGUAACUUUUGAGUCUUUAUCUAUUAUAAUUCAUUAUCCAAUUUUUUCACCACUAGAGUUAGAUUGAGUACUUCAGUAUAUAUUAGUAAAAUUAAUACAAUAACAGAUUUUUCAAUUGAUGGAUGAAAUCUACUCUCAAAAAGAUAAGUCUUUUAAUAUUUAUUAAAGAUAAUAUAUGAAGAGAACUCGACUAGCUCAAUGAAAUAAUAAUCAUAUUUCAUCAUAAUCCUACUUUCCUAAUGAAUGCUAACGAACUCAUAUUGCUUUUCGAAACGAACCAAAUUAGGAAAGAACUACUUUAUUUUUAAAUUUCUCCUUUCCUAAAUGAAAAAAAUAGAUGACAUCUUCUAGUUUUCUUUGUGUUCAAUAGUUUUAAAUAUUUUCUUCACUUGAAGGAUCUAACGUUCUACAAGAUUAGAUCUAGUUUGUUCUAGAAAAUAAUUAGUCUCAAUUUCUUAAGGUGAUCUAAAUUGUUAUUUUUAUCUCGCUAAGCUUCAUCUCACUUCUUUUGAUUCUCAAAAUAGCCUCUUAUAAUAUUAAGAAUUUCGUGUACAUCAUCUAGAGUAUUGGCAAGUGCUGAAAAAUGAGAUGCAUUUUAAGGUGUCCAGAAAGUUAGCACAUAAUCAGUCAUAGGUGUAUGUGAGGAUUAAGUUUGUUUCAAAGUGAUAGGUGUAUGUGAGGAUUAAGUUUGUUUCAAAAUACGUAAAACUUUCAAGUUAAUAUUUGCUAUACAUCUUUCGGAGUCAUAUGCCAAUAGCAUUAUGACCAUAAAUAUCUCGAGCAAUAUGAUUAUUAUUUACUUAAAUUGGAUUCAUAUCUCGUAUAAUAAGUUAAAAAAUAAUCAUUGAAUAUCUAUUAACCCUAAAUAAAGCAAUGAUAUCAUAAAAAAAGCACAUCCUAUAUACUUUUUUUGAAUGAUUACAACAUCUUUCUAUAUAUACAUCACUAGCCAAAUUAAAAAAAAUAUUUUAUUAAUAUAUAAAUUAUAAAUAUUUAUUAUAAUUUAUUUAUUCAUAAAAAUAAAAGUCAAAAGUUAGGUUUUAUAAAGAAAGAUAAAUCAAAAAGAAAAUCCAACUAGCUGUACCUAGCGAAAAAGAUAUUUUUGCUCUCUAUUAGAAUUCGAUUUAGUAUUAUUAUAAGAUUGUUUUGAAAAUUAAAAAUAAAAUAAUAAAAUUUUAAUAUGUUGAGUAGGAAACCUUAUAAGUUAAAUGUAACAUAAAUACAUAUCCAAAACAUGCUCAAAUAUGCACUCCCAUAACAACAAAUGGAAAAGUUUAUGUUUUCCUAAUAGUAAAUAGAUACAAAUACAUAUUGUGAUAUCAUUCACCUACUAAGGUAGAUAGAUAUUUUCAGUGUCACUAAUAUUAAAAAAAUAUCAAUUAAUUCUCAAUUGAUUUGAACCAUGACUCAACAUUUAACUCAAUUUAACUAGUACAUAACUAAAAUCGAUAUCUUAUUUUUAUUUAAUCGAUUUGAACCACCCCUUUAGAUUAGAUUUUAUUUAAUUUAGGUUAAAUAGAUUUAAAUAAGUUAAAUCGGUUUGAAAUUCUCCAGAUCAAAACUGAUUAAAUGUAAUUUGAUUCAGGAUAAUAAGAUAGAUUAUACAAUACUAAGUUAGAUUGAGCUAGCCUAAAUCAUAUACACUGCGUAUGUUUGUGCAUACAUCAUCAAAUUAUAGUCAAAAUAAUUAAUCAUUAAUAUUGAGUCAUUAAAAUAUAAUAAAUAAUAAUAGAUCCAAAAAGAUAAAAUUAUAUUAGGGAGAAAAUAACGUUUUUAUUCGACUAUUAUAUAAAUCUAAUAGAAAUCAAAUAUUACAAUUAGCAUGCAAGAAAAAAUUUAAUUUUAUAUAUAGUAUGAAUAAUUAAAAUAUAUUAUUAAUUAAAAAUAAUUUUUUAAAUACUUAACAGCAUGGAAGAAAAUUUUAUAAAUUGUAUAUAGCAUGAAUAAUUAUAAUAUAUUUUAAUAUAAAAAUAAAAUUUUAAGUACUUGAAUGAAUAUAAGAAAAUUUUAGAAACUGCACAUAAUAUAAAUAAUUGUAAUACAUCUCAAUUCAAAAAUAUUUUUUAAAAAAAAUUAAAUAUAUAAAGAAUAUUUAUUUUUUUUUAAAUACAAGAGAACCUAUUCUUAUGUAAAUUCUUGUUCCUCACACAAUAAAAAAUGGAGAAACUCCUCCCCGCCCUUCAAGGUAAUAAUUUUUAUUUUUAUUUAAUUUAUUGAUAAAAAAUAACAACAUUUAACCUAAAGUAUAAAAUAUUUAUUUUAUAAAUUUUAUUCCCUAGAAAUUAAAAAAAAAAUUAUACUGAAAGAUUUGAUUACAAAUGAAACGGUGAAAAUAGUAUCUUGUAGAUCACUUUAUCUAUUUGUUUGAUAUAAAUAAUUUAUCCUGUAAUUUUGUAUUUCUUGUGCAUAGCGAAGAAGGUUACACACGCUGCAUAUAGGAAUUAGGGUUUCGCUACGGGUGCUAUCAUUUGUCCCACAAUGGCGGCUGCGACGCUCCGCUCCGUACACCGCCACAAUAUCCUUCUGCCCUUCUUCAAAACCUGCCGCCUUCGAGAUCUCUUCUUCUUCUCCUCCUCUGUCGACCCUGCCCCCGCUGUAGGCGUCACCAUUUCUCCAGAUCCCAACUUCAUGGUGGAAUACCUCGUGAACUCCUGUGGGUUCUCCCCCUCCGAGGCAGCCAAGUUCUCUAAACCCCUUGCGCGCCUCCGAUCCACCGAGAAACCCGACGCCGUCGUUCACUUCAUGAGAUCUCAGGGCUUCGAUGGCGCCGGUAUCAGAAAGGUGAUAUCUCGAAAUCCCAGUCACCUAUGCGUGAACGUGGAGAAGAACUUGGCCCCGAAGUUUCAGUUCUUACGCGAUUUGGGCUUAUCGGAGUCGGAUAUCGCCGAUGCCAUCCUGAAGAACGAUUUCAUCCUGCGCCUCGACGUUCACCGUUCCUUGGUCCCCAGAUUGGAGAUGUGGGAAAGUAUCUUGGGAUCGAGAGAGCUCGUUCUCAAGCAUCUCAAGAAGACAAGAUGGUUUUUCUUCUCCAGCGUUGAGAAGACAUUGAAUCCUAACCUAAAGUUCUUGAGGGAUGAGUGCGGCAUUCCUGAAGAAAGGGUCUCUGUCGUCUUGAGAAGUCGCCCACAAUUAAUCUCACAGAAACCAGAGUCUCUCCGAGCUUUGGUGGCGAGAGCCGAUGAGCUGGGGAUGCCACGGCAAUCUCGGAUGUUCGUGCGGACACUUAAUGCUCUCCACUACGUAACCCAAGAAAGGUUCGAGGCCAAGUUCGAGCUCAUGAGGAGCUUCGGGUGGUCGGAGUCGGAGUUUUCUUCUGCUGUCAGGAAAGCACCCACCUUCAUAGGCAUGUCCCUCGAUAUGUUUCGCAGAAAAGUGGAUUUUUUUAUCAAUGUGGUCGGUUACACCCCUUCCUUCAUCGCCGACAAAUCAUCUCUCUUGCUAUUUAGUCUGCAGAAGAGGGUCAUUCCGCGGUUUCGUGUGACGGAAAUGUUGAAAUUGAAAGGGUUGUGGACUGGAAAAUACAAGUUUACAUCGAUUCUCUUAUUCACAGAUACCAAAUUCAUGGAGAAGUUUGUUCUCCCUCACAAAGAAAACGUUCCUGAGCUGCUUGAUAUUUUGAGAGUUGCUGGCACCUGGAAAGGAAAUUAUACCUUGCAUUUGGCAUCGGAGGAUGAGGAAGGGCUUAGCUGAUGGUCUAAUUUGUGACGACGAAGGUAGAUUAUUCCCCUAAUUUGAGAUUUUGGAAAUAGAAUGCAAAGGGCUUAUCAAAAGGUGAAUUGAGGUGUGGGAUUUUUCUUUUAUGACAAGCUAGAUUAGCAUUGAUUAGAAAUCAAAUUUGUUCUGUCUUACUGAUUGUUAGCUUAAAUUGUUUUCUGAAUGUCUUUGGCAUAGUAUUGUUGGUCUGUCUGUAAACUGCAUGUUUUAGAAAUUCUACAUGACAGUCCAACUGAGAUGACCUUUGGAUCUAUCGUAGGGACUUUUGGAUUUUGUUUGGGUAAGUCUUGAAGGGUCAUAUUUCAGAUCAAGUUAUGCAGGAUAUAGAAAUUAUCACCAAAGAUCUUAAUUCCAAUUCCGGAUUGGUUUUUGUUUGGGUAAGUCUUGAAGAGUCAUAUUUCAGAUCAAGUUAUGCAGGAUAUAGAAAUUAUCACCAAAGAUCACAAGAAAUUGUUGAGUGGUAGUUACUCUAAUGAUUUAAGUGGCGAAAAAAACUUAAAACACCAAAGAGUUGUUUCUUUAAUUUGUUUUUAAAUCAGUCAUCACCCAAUUUAUUGAUUUGGAUAUAUCUAAGAAGGUGUUAUCUCUUGUCAGUCGAGGCUUCUUUGCAAACUUAUUUAUUUAUGUACUAAUUGGAAUAUUUAAAUUUGAUUUUUGCAUUGUAAUAUUAGUAUGCAGUGGCUUCAAUGGAAUUUGAAAGACCAGUUGCACUGGGUUGAUCAGGAGUCACCAGCUCUUCUGAAAUGUCUUCAACCUCCUUUGGAAUUGCUAAAGCUUUUCACGCAUCAACAAACUCUUGCAUGCCUCCAUAGGCUUCUGCUCGUCCACUCUUUGUGAUUCCAGGUGCAGAUCUCUUCAUUCUUGGAGUUCAUUCUUGGAUUCGGUGGAUGCAACUUUUCAUCAUCAUAGCUGAAGCUUCUGCUCUACUCGAAAGCUUUCGGAAGGCUGUACAACUAAAUUUCUCCAACAUCUGAAUCGAACUAAUUCCCUUGAGUUAGUCGAUUCGCUGGUUCCUUCUUUUAUUUCUUUGUUCAAGUCUUUAUGUUGUCGAUGUGGUCCAUGUUUCCCGUGUCAUGAAAGGCGUGGUCCAUUGGCUAGUCAAUCUCAGAAGGACUGUAAAUUCUCUAUGUUUUGUGGGUCUUGUAAUGAUAGAUCAGUCUAGCUCAUUAUCUAAUCCACUUUAAUCUUUUAUGAAAUUUCUCCUUUUUUGGUAAAAAUAAACAAACUCUAACAUGCAAACUAACAUGUAAGCUCAGAAGGUUUAAAAGUGACAAUUAAAUGUGUAUUGCAAGAUUCGGUAAUUGGCUUUAUUUCUUGUUGUAGAGUUUAUGAUCAUUUACGUCACUAGUAUUUCUUAUUUAUGCACACUAUCUUGACCCGUUCUCAACGAGUAUUUUUCUGGCUAUCCGUGCCUUUUUGUAUGUAUUCAGUGUUUUGAAUUUUGAUAUCAGUUGAUCCCUCUUUAUUCUAUUCUUUGUCUUAGAUAAUAAUGUGUCUCUAUUUUGUUAAGACAGACAUUAGUGAAAUGAAUAUAUGGAAGGAACUGAGAAAAGCAGAAUUCAUAAUUUUAAAUAAGACAAGUCAUCAAAGCAAAAUUAUGCACUUAUAUCAUGUUAAUGAACCAAUGCAACGUGAGCAUACAACAUACGCAUUUUCAAACAAAGGAUACGAUAUUUAUUGAUGAUCACGAAAUUGGCAUAUAUAGAUUGAUGUCUCCAGAUUGAAAUGUGGCCUGCUGUAAUUAACAGGUGUUAUGCUACAGAUAUACUAUAUUGAUGUAUGGUUAAUUUAAUUAAAUAUCAUAUAAUCCAUGAUCAACUUCAAUCUUGAUUUUUUUUUGAAUUUUUACGAGUCAUAAAUACUAUUCAAGACAUAUUAAUUUAAACAAAAGAAAUCAAGUUUUAAAGGAUUAUAGGAUUGUUUUUUUUUCAAAUCUGGUGCAGCAAUAAAUUAUUUUUGGAUCAAAUAAAUGAAUAAUUUUAUAUUUUUUAAAUACAAAAUUAUAUAAAUAUUUUGUAGAUCACUUUAUCCAUAAUUUUGAUAUAAAUAAUUUAUUCCUGUAAUUUUAAUCUCUCGUAAUAGUGAAUGAUAGUUGUUGAAAUUAUGAUGCUCCUAUGGCUCUCCUUUAUUCUUAAAUAAUUGUCAUAAAGCUUGUCUUCCUCCUUAGUCAUGAUAACUUCUUAUCCCUAUUUGAAACCUAUCGCUUUCAAGGUCUUCUUUUUUUCAUAUCUUACUUCAUCACCGAUUGAUUGUGAUCAUGUUCUAUCAAAUUAGCUGAAAAGAUAAGGAUGAUUGAAGAUGAACUCAACGUUUAAUAAGAAGAAGUGAAUAACAUUAUGGAACUAUGACUCAAAUGCGUCUAAUGUCCUAUCGUGUACAAGCAAAAGGAUGACCUCCUCAAACUGAUGGGUGAAUCCAACAGACAAUUGAGAUGGAAGCACCUCUAUCGGACGCAUUCCAUGCCAGGAAGCAUCCCCAUCAUCAUCAUACAAUAGUACAUAUGUUGACCUAUGUACGAGUGUACAACAUGAAAAGGGAAGCUCUUAGCUAGUCUUCAACUCUUCUUCUUCCUCUCUUAAGAACUAACGGGGGAUACCGAGUGAGCUAACGGGGGAUGCAGGAGGCCACAUAAAGAAGAGUAGGUAAGGAGAUAGAGGAAGAAUGAUUCUGGAGAUCUUAGCAGUCAAGGACAUGACGCUAUUAUUGAACCUUUUAGCCAUGAGAGCAACAUAUAUCAUUGUCUCUAUCACACUUUCUUCCCCCAAAUAUAAUUUAGCCCUGCUUUGUCUCAAUGCAGUCUGCAAUAACAAACCAACGAAGUGAGUUUUCAUAAGUACAUUUUGAAAUCAGCAUUUGAUCAGAUCCGUGAACAUGCAUUAGUACAUACAUUAAUAUCUAAAACCUUUAAUCAUAUAAUGUUUUGAUUUGAGUACCUGAAACUAAGAAAAUUUUCAAGAAACAAUAAUCUCAUAAAUUAAAUCACUAGAAAGGUUAAUUUCAUACAACUAUUGUACAUCUGUUCUCCAUAUGCUAUCAUACAACUUUAAGGUAUGGAUAUAUAUAUAUAUAUAUAUAUAUAUAUAUAUAUAUAUAUAUAUAUAUAUAUAUAUAUAUAUAGUUUUACGAUCUUAACUUAGAGUUAAAUCAUGACCACAUAAUAUAAAUCAUAUAAAUCGAGUAUAAUCAAAUUAUACUUGAUCAUAUAAGUUAAAUUAUAUUUGAUUAUAUGAGUUAAGUCAUAUCUAACUAUAUAAGUUUGGUUAUAUUUAGUCACUUGUGUUAAGUCAUACCUAAUCACAAAAAUUUGAUCAUGUCUAAUCACACAAGCUAAAUCAUGCUUGAUCACAUGGAAUGGAUUAUGCUUAAUCAUACGAGUUAUACCUGAUCAUAUAUGCUAAGUCAUAACUAUUAAAUGAGUUAGACAAUGCUUGAUAACAUAGGAUGAGUUAUGUUUAACCACAUAAGUUAGAUCAUGUCUCAUCACAUAAAUCGAGUAAUAUAUAACUAUAUAUAUUAUAUUAUAAUUGACUAUAUGGAUUGUGUUAUGUUGAAUCACAAGAGUUGAAUCAUACUUGACCACGACCACGUAGAUUGAAUGAUACCUAAUCACGUGAGUUUGAUUGUACUUCACCAUAUAGAUUAAUUUGGUCAAUCAACUUAACUAAGAUUAAAUCUCAAAUUUGACUCAUACUUGUUAAAUUAGAUUUUAACAUUUUAAAAAUAUUUUAAAAUAUUAUAAAAAUAAUAAUUCAUCAUAAAUCUAUUAAUUUUCAUGAAUUAACUAAUUUAGAUUUAUGUUCAAAAUUUAAAAGUAAUUAAAUCUAAAAAUACAUACUUAAUUGUUUAAAACAUAAAUACACUUUCAAUGAUCAUUAUUUAUUAAUAAUAAAAUUUUAAAAUUAAAAAUAUCAUUUUUUAUGUAUAAAUUAAAAUAAUUUAAAUAUUAAAUAAUUUUAAAAAUAUAAAAAUAAAAUAUUAAUAAUAAAAAAAAUAUACUCUCCUCAUGAUCAUUUCCUCUAAGAGAGCUAGGAAUUGAGUAAAGAUGAGCUUGAGCUCUCCAUAAAAGAUAAAUAAUAAUUUUAAUAAUUUUCUUAAUCAUAUUAUAUAAAUAAAAAAUACUAAUUUAAAUAAAAUAAUAUAUGAUUUAAAGUAAUUAAUUGAUGUUAGAAAUUUAUGGAUGAUUACAAAAGUCACGACUUUAUUGGAUGAUCUGCAUGAUUAGUAAACUAAUAAAUUAUCUGUAGUCAAUCAAGCUAACCUAACAAUUACAAGAUCUUUUGAAUGUUGAUAGUUGCAAUUUGUUAACUAUGUAAUCAAACAAAGAAGACAAAAUUCAGAAUAUGCUAUAAGUUCCUGAAGUUUCAGAAUACCUAACAUCUAUAAAAAGGGAAGAGUUGAGAUGAAGCAUUAUGAAAACGAUGUAAAAGUAUAACAUGAAAAUGCACCAAGGAAUAUAUAUAUAUAUAUAUAUAUAUAUAUAUAUAUAUAUAUAUAUAUAUAUAAUUCAUCAAGAAAAAUUCAGAUCAUCAGAUAUGAGAGACAGCAAAAACAUAAAGGGCUUUCACAUGCAUGCAUGGCAAACGAAAAGGUUCAAUUGUGAUUUUAAAAACAUAAUUGUCAUGCAAAAAGAUAAAUUAAUGGUUCAAGUAAGACAUAUCUUAAUAAGAGUAAUUUAAUUUUUAACCCACGAGACCAAGCCGAAGCAUUACACAAUAGGAGUAAUAAAAAAUCCACAGUUAUUGAAAUUUGUUACUUAAAAACUCGGAGUAACUUAUAGUUACCAUUUCCCCAUAAACCAAAAAUUUAUUUCCACUAUAUUUUUCCUUGACUAAGAAUAACAUCAUUAAACUUCUACCAUCGAUCGAUGACAAUGACAAACUUGCCAUCUGUAGGAGAGCAAAGGUCAAGAACAAAAACAUGAGAAACCAUAAAAUUCUUUCUUAAAAAAAUUAAUUUAAUAAGUUCAUAUCAAGUGGUCAAUUAAGAAAAUUAUCAAAAGUAAUAUCAUGGUUACAUCUACUCCGCGGGCUAUGAUAUAGCUUAUGAGUUCAGCCUAACAUACUAAUUUAUUUCAAUUUAAAUCAUAAUUAAUUUUUAAAUUUUAAAUUAUACUAUCAUGAAAUUAUAACAAAAAUAAAUUAUAUACCGAUCAUUUUCAUGUCGAGAUAAAAUAAUAUAUUAAAAUAUUUUUAAUUUAUCUUUUAAAUAUUAUUUAAUAUAAAAUAAUAUCAAUUAGUCCUUAAUUAACUUGAAUCCUAGUUCAAUCGAUCUAAUUGAAUUGGAUUUAAUUAUAACCUAGUUUAAUCGAUCUCUAAUUCUUAUUUAAUUGAUCUAAAAUUAUCUUAAACUUAAUAUAUUUUAGAUUAUAUUAAGUUUAAUUUAUGUUAAAUAUAUUUAAAUAAAUUAAAUUACUUCAAAGUCACCUUCAAUCGAUUUAAAUUUAUCAAAUUAGAUUUCGCUCAAUCGAACACAAAUGAAAUAAAGUAAAGAUAGUAAUAUGAUAUGUUAAGUUAGUCGAUGUACUUAUUGUAUAUGACUAUGCAUAUAAAAUACCAAGCUAUGUCGAAUCAUAGCCCAUGAACUAAUCAUAUGCACUACACAUGAUUGUCCAUGUUGAGUCGGAUUGAAUGACUAACUAGGCUUAACCUGUUGGGUCGAAUCUACGGGUUGUAGUUUAGCCUGUGGGUAGAUCCUGAUUUGCUAAACGAAUUUCAACCUAAAUCAUAAUAAUUUUUUUAAUUUUAAAUUAUAACAUCAUGAAAUUAUAAUAAAAAUCUCAAACUAUUGCAAUUGAGUCAUUAAAACAUAAUAAAUAGUAAUCUAUUAAAAAUAUAAAAUUGCAUUAAGGGGGAAAUAAUAUUUUUAUUCAACUAUUAGAUAAAUCUAAUAAAAAUUGAAUAUUACAACUAGUAUAAUGCAUAAAAGAUAAAAAUUUUCAAAAUUAUUAUAGUAUGAAUAAUUAUAAUAUAUUAAAUCUAAAAAUAAAAUUUUAAAUAUUUGGAUGAAUAUAAUAAAAUUUUAGAAACUAUAUAUAUCAUGAAUAAUAAAAAAUAAAAAAAUAUUAAUUUUUUAAAAAAUAUAGAAACACCUAACUGUACGUAGUGAAAAACGAAGAAGAGGAAUCACCCCUAUUAAAUAAAAAAGUCCAACCUUCCAAGGUAAUAAAUAUUUUAAUUUAUUUAUUUAUUUAAUAAAAAAUUAUAUCACUUAACUUAAAAUAUUGAAUAUUUAUUUUAUAAAUUUUAUUCAUAAGAAAAGAAAGUAAAUAAUUGUACUUAAACUGAAAUAUUUAAGCACAGAUGAAACCUGUCAAAUUAGUAUUUUAAGAUCAUUUUAUCCAUAUUUUUUAUAUAAAUAAUUUAUUCCUAUAAUUUUGUUUUUCUUGUGCAUUGCGAAGGUUAUACACAAUACGUAUAAGGAGGGUGGUUGUAAUUAGGGCGCCGCUGCGGCUGCUCUCUUGUCCCACAACGGCUGCUGCUCCGCUCCGCUCCGUACUCCAACGCCGCAAUGGCCUUCUGCCCUUGUUCGAAACCUGCCGCCUUCGAGAUCUCCUCUUCUUCUCCUCCUCUGUCGACCCUGCCGCCGCCGUAGGCGGCACCAUAUCUCCAGAUCCCCACUUCAUGGUGGAAUACCUCGUGAACUCUUGCGGGUUCUCCCCCUCCGAGGUCCGAGGCAGCCAAGUUCUCUAAAUCUCUUGCGCACCUCCGAUCCACCGAGAAACCCGACGCCGUCCUUAACUUCAUGAGAUCUCAGGGCCUCGGUGGCGCCGCUAUCAGGAAGGUGAUAUCUUCGGAACCCAAUUACCUGUGCUACAACGUGGAGACGAACAUCGCCCCGAAGUUUCAGUUCUUACGUGAUUCGGGCCUAUCGGAGUCGGAUAUCGUCGAUGUCAUCCUGAAGAACGUUGUUAUUCUGCUCCUCGACGUUCACCGUUCCUUGGUCCCCAAAUUGGAGAUGUGGGAAAGUCUCUUGGGAUCGAGAGAGCUCGUUCUCAAGCAUCUCAAGAAGACCCGGUGGUUUUUCUUCUCCAGCGUUGAGAAGAAAUUGCAUCCUAACCUAAAGUUCUUGAGGGAUGAGUGCGGCAUUCCUGAAGAAAGGGUCUAUGUCGUCUUGAGAAGUCACCCACAAUUAAUCUCACAGAAACCAGAGUCUCUCCGAGCUUUGGUGGCGAGAGCCGAUGAACUGGGGAUGCCACGGCAAUCUCGGAUGUUCGUGCGGACACUUGAUGCUCUCCACAACGUAAGCCGAGAAAGGUUCGAGGCCAAGGUCGAGCUCAUGAGGAGCUUCGGGUGGUCGGAGUCGGAGUUUUCUUCUGCAGUCAGGAAAGCACCCACCUUCUUAUGCAUCUCCCUCGAUAUGUUGCGCAGAAAAGUGGAAUUUUUUAUCAAUGUAGUCGGGUACACUCCUUCCUUCAUCGCCUCCCAACCAUCUAUCUUGCUAUAUAGUCUGCAGAAGAGGGUAAUUCCUCGGUUUCGUGUUUUGGAGAUGUUGAAUACGAAAUGCUUGUGGACUCGACAAGGCACGUGUUUGUCCUAUGUGAAAUUAUCAAAUGCAAAAUUCCGGGAGAAGAUUGUUCUACCUUACAAAGAAAAGGUUCCUGAGCUUCUUGAUAUUUUGAGAGCUGGUGAGUGUGAAGGGAAAUGAGCCCUUUUAUUUGGUAUCAGAGGAGGAUGAGAAGGGCUUAGCUGCUGGUUUAACUCACAUUUGAAUUUCUCAUCCGGAGCUGAGCAGUGAUUCGGCACCUUUUUCCUUGACAACAAGCUGUCUUACAUCAACCACCAGCCUUGGCUACUGAGUUGCAGUCCAGUGAAUGAAUUAUUCCUUUGGUGUCAUAUGGUAGUAAUGUUGUAAUUGGAAGGUCUAUGCAGUGCCCAACACAAAAUGUCUUCCAGUUUUACUCACUAAGGUUCAUGGAAAAAGUCUGUUCUUUGUUGCAAAGCAGAAGUCCCUGGCCUGUUUGAAAUCUCUGAUAGAUGAAGGUAGAUUAUUCCCCUAGUUUGAGAUUCUGGAAAUAGAAUGCAAAUGGCUUCUCUAAAAGUCUAUUGAGGUGUGAGAUUCUUCUUAUGUGACAAGCUAGUUUAGCAUUGAUUAUAAACCAACUUUGUCUGUAUGUGAAAAUGCAAAUGGCACAGUAUUGUUGGUUUGUAUGUGAACUGCAGAUUUUAGAAAUUCUGCUUAGCAGUCCAACGGAGAUUAUUUUGGAUCUUAGGAACAUUUGGAUUCUGUUUAAGUUGAUUCUGAACGGGUAUUUGGAUUCUGACAAAUGUAAUUCCGGAUCGGUUAUUGGUUGUUGGGUGAGUGUGAAAGAGCCAUGUUUCAGAUUAAGUUAUGCAGUAUGUAUACACCACCAAAGAUGACGAGAAGUUAAAUGGAGUAGUACUUGCUCUGAUGAUUUUAGUAGCUGAAAAAAAUUUAAACCCCAAAGUGUUGUUUCUAUAAUUUAUUGUAGGUGAGUUUUCACGGAUUUAUGGAUUUGGUUGUCUUCAAGGAGUUGUUAUCUUGUCAGUUGAGUUUCUAUGCAAACUUGCUCGUGUGCUAAUUGGAAGAUUCCAUUUAUGUUUCUGUUAUGUAUUGUGAUAUUUGCAUGCAGGGGCCUCAAUGGAAUUUGGAAGACCAGUUUUUGUGUUGAUCAGGAGUACCAUUGGUUUGGUACUCACCCAUUUCUUUUGCAUGUAAGAAGGUGUCACUUUGCUUGCAGGUUGAAUGGACUUCAGAGAAUCAAAACUUGUGUAUGUUAUACUGAAAUGCCUUCAGCCUCAUUGGAAUUGUUGAGUAUGCUAUCCUGAAUUGUCUUCAGCCUCACUGGAAUUGUAGAGUUUGCUAUCCUGAAAUGUCUUCAGCCUCAUUGGAAUUGUUGCCCAGGCAUUUCCUGCAUCAACAAACUCUAACAUGCAAGCUAAUUUAUACGCCUAAACAUUUUAAAAUUGACACCAAAAUGUGUAUUUCAAAUCUCUGUAAUUGUCUUUAGGAUUUCUUUUAGAGUUAAUGAUCAUUACAUCAUAAGGUUUUAUGUCCCGCAUUUAGUGCAGAAAUGACUACUUAUGAUUGUGCAAACUAUCCUUACCCAUUCUCAGCUACUCUUGUUUCGGCCUCUCCAUGCAAUUGUGCAUAUUUUUAAUAUCACAAUUCAGAUAAGAUCAUAAGAAUAUUGAUCAUCUUUCUCAUAUGUAAAAUGUUUUCGGAAUCUUGAUAUCAGCUGUUCAUCUUUUGCAGCGAAUUUUGUGUAGCUGUGCAUGAAUUGUGGAACUGAUAGAACUAACAAGUGCAUCAAGAAUAUUGGAAGGUAUGCGAAAACUGCUUUUCUAAUUACAUUCUUGUUCCUGCCAUGCUUGUUUGUAGUGCUAUAGAGUAUGCUAUGAAUCUUGUCUCUUGCAAGCAAUCAUUGGAAUUGGUUCUUGGAUUCUUGUUCAUAGUUUUUGUUUUGUUUUUGAGUGUGUUAGUUUAUUUAAUCUGUUGCGAGUUUGGUAUAACAAGGUUUCAAAAUCAUUUGGUUAUUAUCUCAAUUCUCAAUGGGCAUAUUGAGACCCACAAUCGGCCUAAAUUGGGCUUUCCCAUUGUGUAGGCUUGCUCAAUAUUUUCUUACUUUUGUUCGUAAGGCCCAAUUUAACCCAUUACGUUCCCGUAUGCAGCCCGUUUCUCGUGCGUACACUCAACCCUGUAUCUUACUUUCUUUAAAUGUUUGUUAUAGAUUGCUCCUCAGGCAAUCAGGUAAGUGUGAUUUCUGUGAAUUCUUCAUCAAGUCUGCUGCUUUUUCUUCUUUCUUCCAAUUGUAAGUUAUGUAUCUGUUAUCAUUCCACAACUAUGUGUAAGCAUAAUAUAGAUUGGAAGUUAAAUAUAUCUUGCAAUGAUUGUAAGAAUUCUUUAAUGUCAUGGAGAGUAUUCAAGCUGAAGUUUUUGUGGAAUCGUUUAACUAUUGGUUGUUAUUAGCAAUAAGUAAGAAGGACAUUGCAAUAGCAUUCUUAGCUUAAGUUUUGAUCUGCUAAUUACCUUACUUUUCAUGAAAGCAUGAUUGUGCCCUGUGAGAUUUUUAAUCAAAAGCUAAAUUUUCCUCUGCCUUAGAUUGGUAAUUUUGAGGUGUUACUGUUAUGUGUAGCAAUAUUAUGCAAUGGAAGGUAAACUUGUGCAUUUUAAUAUUGUCACAUCUUUGCAAUGAUCAUAAACAUUUUUCAAGUUUCUGGUGGUGCUAGUUUCUCCACUGUUGUUUAUAGUUGAGUUCUUAACCUAUGUUCUUCCAAGCAAGUUUGCCUUGAGCUAAAUGUAGCACCUGUGGGAUUUACAAUUGAAAGGUACACAGUAAGAUGAAGGCAACAGAGAUUCUUAGUGACUUACUGGGAAUGGAUGCUAAUAUGUUACAUAAAUGUACUUAAAUCCUUUGGGUCUCAAUUGACAUUACAAAAGGCUUGUUGUAAGUGCAAUGCCUUUUGUGCCAUGGUGCAGGUGGGAGCUAAGCACAAUGAUAAUAUCUAUAUUAAGAUAAAGUGGAUGAGGCAAAUGUGAAUUUUGUUGGUGGAUAUUUCAUGGUGGUCUAAUCAUAAGUGACAGAAGAUUGGAUGAAAGAAACAGAUUAAGAUUUGAGCCUAUGAGUGAUAAAAGGUAUUAGUAAAUUAGUCCCUCUCAUGGAUCGCGUCAGAUAUCGAAUUUAUUUUAUGUCAAGUCCUCAUCAUUAUUCCGACAUUUUUUUUUGUCAUCAAUGAUGAUUGUGGUUAACUAUUUAACUCUAUAAGUGUAAAAGAAUAUACAUACAUAUAUAUAUAUAUAUAUAUAUAUAUAUAUAUAUAUAUAUAUAUAUAUAUAUAUUAGCAUUUAUCUCUAUAUCCCUUGCUCCAAGAUAAACUGGAUUGUUGGAUUAAUAAUAAUAAUAAUAGUCUAUAAUAAUAAUUAUAGAAGAUUGGAUUUUGGAAAUAAUUAUUACAUAAGUAAUUGGGAGGCAGUCAACCUCAUUCCUUUCAUGUUGUAGAACAGACCACUUCAAAACCAUUAAGAAGCUUCAUGUGUAAGAAUCUUCAUACAAAGUCAAACUAACAUGUAAGCUCAAAAGGUUUAGAUGUGAUAAUUAAAUGUGUAUUUCAAGAUUCGUUAAUUACCUUUAGCUCUUGUAGUAGAGUUUAUAAUCAUUUGCAUCACUAGUAUUUCAGAUUUAUGCACACUAUCUUCACUCAUUCUCAACUCGUUUUUUUUCUGCCUAGCCAUGCUUGAUAUGCGUUUUAUAUUUUGAUAUUAGUUGUUCCGUCUUUGCAGCGAUUCUGUGCAGGAGUCGUAGAACUGAUAGAACUUGCAAGUUCAUCAACAAUAUUGGGAAGAUACUCUUUUUUCUUGAUGAUUGAAUAAUAACGUCCCAAUUCUUUUUGUCGACACACGUAUGACUCAAUUUUGGGAAGACAGACAUUAAUGAAAUGAAUAUAUGGAAGGAAGUGAGAAAAGUAGAAUUCAUGAAUUUAAAUAAGACAAGUAAUCUAAGCAAAAUCGUGCACUUAUUUUAUGUUAAUGAACCAUUGCAAUGUGAACAUAAAACAUAAAAGGAUAGGAUACUUUCGGAUGCUCAGGAAGUUGGCAUGUAUAGAUUGAUUGUCUCCAGAUUGAAAUGUGGCUUGCUAUAAUUAACAGGUGUUGUCAUAUAUAUAUAUAAAGGAUACUUUCGGAUGCUCACGAAGUUGGCAUGUAUAGAUUGAUUGUCUCGGAUAAUCCGUUUUUUUUUUACAUGAGGAUCAUCGAUAAUAGUCGAUCGGCAAGGUUGCUACUGUUUGGAUUGUCAAACAAACGAUAAGAUAGUGGAGGAUAAUUGACGAGGUAAAAAUAUAAUGAAACGCAUAUAAAAGUAGAGUAAAAAGCGAUGAUCGAUAGAAGAAAACUGAAUAUUAAAAAAAUUAAUUUUUUUUAAUUUAGGCAGUAUCAUAAGAAAAUUUGAAUGUAGAAGUUUUUUUUUAAAAAGAAUUCGUCGGAUGAUCAAAUCACUUUUCUCAUGUAAAGCGUGUUUUCUUAUGGAGAGACAAAAUUAUAUAAAUAUUUUGUCGAUCACUUUAUCCAUAUUUGUGAUAUAAAUAAAUUAUUCCUGCAGUUUUGUAUUUCUUGUGCAUAGCGAAGCUUAUACACACUAUAUAUAGGAAUUAGGUUACCCAUUUCAGUUCUCUUUCUUCUCCCACGAUGGCGGCUGCGACGCUGCGCUCCGUACUCCGCCGCAAUCGCCUCCUUCCCUUGUUCGAAACCUGCCGCCUUCGAGAUCGCCUCUUCUUCUCCUCCUCUGUCGACGCUGCCGCCGUCACCGUAGGUGGCACCAUGUCUCCAGAUCCCCACUUCAUGGUGGAAUACCUCGUGAACUCCUGCGGGUUCUCCCCCUCCGAGGCAGCCAAGUUCUCUAAAUCCCUUGCGCACCUCCGAUCCACCGAGAAACCCGACGACGUCCUUAACUUCAUGAGAUCUCAGGGCUUCGACGGCGCCGGUAUCAGGAAGGUGAUAUCUGCGGAUCCCAGAUACUUAUGCUACAACGUGGAGAAGAACCUCGCCCCGAAGUUUCAGUUCUUACGCGAUUUGGGCCUAUCGGAGUCGGAUAUCGUCGAUGCCAUCCUGAAGAACAAUGGCAUCCUCCACUACAACGUUCACCGUUACUUGGUCCCCAAAUUGGAGAUGUGGGAAAGUCUCUUGGGAUCGAGAGAGCUCGUUCUCAAGCAUCUCAAGAAGUCAAGAUGGUUUUUCUUCUCCAGCGUUGAGAAGACUUUGCAGCCUAACCUAAAGUUCUUGAGGGAUGAGUGCGGCAUUCCUGAAGAAAGGGUCUCUGUCGUCUUGAGAAGUGACCCAAAAUUCAUCUCACAGAAACCAGAGUCUCUCCGAGCUUUGGUGGCGAGAGCCGAUGAGCUGGGGAUGCCACGGCAAUCUCGGAUGUUCGUGCGGACACUUGUUGCUCUCCACAACGUAAGCAAAGAAAGGUUCGAGGCCAAGGUCGAGCUCAUGAGGAGCUUCGGGUGGUCGGAGUCGGAGUUUUCUUCUGCAGUCAGGAAAUCACCCACCUUCUUAGGUAUCUCCCUCGAUAUGUUUCGCAGAAAAGUGGAAUUUUUUAUCAAUGUGGUCGGUUACACCCCUUCCUUCAUCGCCUCCCAACCAUCUAUCUUGCUAUUUAGUCUGCAGAAGAGGGUAAUUCUUCGGUUUCGUGUCACAGAGAUGUUGAAAUCGAAAGGAUUGUGGACUGGACAAGCCAAGUUUACUUCGAUUCUCUUUUUCUCAGAUACCAAAUUCAUGGAGAAGUUUGUUCUCCCACACAAAGAAAAUGUUCCUGAGCUGCUUGAUAUUUUGAGAUUUGCUGGCACCUGUAAAGGAAAUGAUACCUUGCAUUUGGCAUCGGAGGAUGAGGAAGGGCUUAGCUGAUGGUCUAAUUUGUGACGACGAAGGUAGAUUAUUUCCCUAAUUUGACAUUUGGGUAUUUUCUGCAAAGGGCUUAUCUAAAGGUCCAUUGUGGUGUGGGAAUUUUCUUUUAUGACAAGCUAGCUAGAUUAACAUUGAUUAUAAAUCAAAUUUGUUCUGUCUUACUGAUUGCUAGCUUAAAUUAUUUUCUGAUUGUCUUUGGCAUAGUAUUGUUGCUUUGUACGUUAGCUGCAUGUUUUAAAAAUUCUACAUAACAGUCCAACUGAGAUUACCUUUGGAUCUAUCGAAGGGACUUUUGGCUUUUGUCCAAAUUAAUCCAAUUCCAGAUUGGUUUUUGUUUGGGUUAGUCUUGAAGAGUCAUAUUUCAGAUCAAGUUAUGCUGUAAGUAUAUACAAAAUAUCACCAAAGAUCACAGGAAGUUGCUGCGUAGUAAUUGCUCUAACGAUUUAAGUGGCUGAAAAACACUUAAACUUCUUUGCAAACUUAUGUAUUUAUGUACUAAUUGGAUUAUUCAAAUUUGAUUGAUUCAUUGUAAUAUUAGUAUGCAGUGGCUUCAAUGGAAUUUGAAAGACCAGUUGCACUGGGUUGAUCAGGAGUCACCAGCUCUUCUGAAACGUCUUCAACCUCCUUUGGAAUUGCUAAAGCUUUUCUCGCAUCAACAAACUCUUGCAUGCCUCCAUAGGCUUCUGCUCGUCCACUCUUUGUGAUUCCAGGUGCAGAUCUCUUCAUUCUUGGAUUUGGUGGAUGCAAUUUCUCAUCAUCAUAGCUGAAGCUUUUGCUCCACUUGAAAGCCUUCAGAAGGCUGCACAACUAAAUUUCUCUAACAUCUUUAUCGAACUAAUUGCCUUGAGUUAGUCAAUUCGCUGGUUCCUUAAGAAUAUUUUGGAUGUCAUUUUAUUUCUUAUUUCAAGUCUUCAUGUUGUCGAUGUGGUCCAUGUUUCCCGCAUCAUGAACCGCGUGGCCCAUUGUCUAGUCAAUCUUGGAAGGGCUGUAAAUUCUCUGUUUUUUUGGGUCUUGUAAUGAUAGAUCAGUCUAUCUCAGUAUCUAAUCCGCUUUAAUCUUUAUUGAAAUUUCUCCUUUUUUGGUGAAAAAAAACUCUAGCAUGCAAACUAACAUGUAAGCUCAGAAGGUUUAAAAGUGACAAUUAAAUGUUUAUUGCAAGAUUCUGUAAUUGGCUUUAGUUCUUGUUGUAGAGUUUAUGAUCAUUUACAUCACUAGUAUUUCUGAUUUUUAUGCACGCUAUCUUGACCCGUUCUCAACCAGUAUUUUUUUGGCUAUCGAUGUCUUUGUGCAUGUAUUCAGUAUCUCAUUUCAGAUUGGGUCAUAAGAUCAUCAUCAUCUUUAUCAAUGCGUGAAAUGUGUUUUGGAUUUUGAUAUCAUUUGUUCCAUCUUUAUUCUUUAUUCUUUGUCUUGGAUAAUAAUGUCUCAAAUCCAUAAUUUUGAUAUAAAUAAUUUAUCCAUAAUUUUGAUAUAAAUAAUUUAUUACAGUAAUUUUUAUUCCUAUGCAUAGUGAAGGACAACUGUUUGAAUUAUGAUACCCGGAUGCUCUCCUUUAUCUAGUCACAAUGCUCGGCUCCUCUCUUUUUCUUUUAUUUUAUCGUCGAUUGAUUAAAAUUAUGUUAGGUGUUGUAUUGUAUCUGACCAUAUAAAUUGAAUUAUGUUGAAUCAUGAGUUGAAUUAUACUUAACUAUAUGAAUUACGUAAUACUUAGUCACAUUAGUUAGGUUGUGAUUGACUACAUAGAUUGAUUUGAUAAAUCAACUUAUAUUAAAUCAAUAAUUUAACUCAUAUUAUUAAAUUAUAUCAUAAUAUUUUUUAAAAAUACUUUAAAAUAAUAACUAACCUUAAAUCUAUUCUUUUUCAAGAAUUAACUAAUUUAGAUUGAUAAUUUUAAAUUUAAAACUAAUUAAAUUGUACAAAUUCAUACAAAAUUUUUUUAAACAUAAAUAUGUCUAAUUAAAUAAAUUAAAAUUAUUAUUAAAUUAACUAAUUAUUUUAACAUCAUAAUUUCAUAAUCAUUAUUUAUUAAUCAUAAUAUUUUAAAAUUAAAACAUUAUUUUGCAUCAUAUUAAUUAAAAAAAUUCUACUAUUAAAUAUUUUAAAAUAUAAAUAAAAAUGAUAAUAAAGAAAAUAAAGAAUCCUACUCGUCCUUGCAAUCCUAUCAUCAAAAUUUUUUUUUUCUUAAUCCUUCGUCCAACUUCUAAGAGAGGGGAAUUAACGAGGAAUAGUAGAAGACGAGAGGGGAAUUAACGAGGAAUAGUAGAAGACGAACUCUUCUCGAUAGAUAAAUAAUAUUUUUUAUUUUACUUUCAUACAAAAAUGGAUUGUAAUAUUAAUUUUACAUUGUCCACACACAAAAAUAAAAUUUAAAAUAUUUGCUUUUUAAGAAUCAUAUCAGAAAAUAAAUCAAUUAAUAAUUUAAUAAAUCAAUAAAAUUCUUAAUUUGUUCAAAUAAUAAAAAAUAAUUUUAAUUAGUUUAAAGUAUAUUAAAUAAAUAAAUUAAAAUAAUAAUAUAUGAUUUAUAAUAAUUAAUUGAUGUUAAGAAAAAAAAAUCUAUGAUUACAAAAAUCUUGAAGUUUCAGAACACCUAACAUCUAUAAAAGGGAAGAGUUGAGCUGAACCAUUACGAGAAAAAAAAAAAAGUUCAAAAGUGGUGCAGAAACAAACAUAAUAGCCACGCAAAAAUGGUUACUGGUUCAAGUAAAAGACAUGUGAUUAAGUAAUUUAACUUUUAAUCCACAACGCCAAGCUGAAUCACUACAUAAUAAGAGUCGCCAGAAAUCCACAGUUGUUAAAAUAAGUUGCUAUAAAAAAUAAAAAUCAGACACGAAGUAACUUCAGCUUAUCAAAAAGAAAAAUGAAAAUGAGAAGCAGAGAGGUCAUCUUUUCCCCCUCGACAUCAACUCCAUACGUUGCAGGGAACUCCAAGAUAUCAUUGUCUAAAUAUCAUCGAUAAAUAUCACACAUAUAUAUAUAUAUAUAUAUAUAUAUAUAUAUAUAUAUAUAUAUAUAUAUAUAUAUAUAUAUAUAUAAUUUAUUUAUACAUCAAAAUAAAAGUUAAAAAUAAUCAUAGGUUUUAUUCAUAAACAUAAUAAUAUAAAUUCAAAAAUAAACAUUCAACUUCAAGUCUAAGGUUAGCUUUCAAAAAAAUAAUAACCGAAAAAAUUUUCAGAGUCCCCUUCAAUCUAUUUAAAUUUAUUAGAUUAGAUUUCGCUCAAUCAAACACAAAUGAGAUAAAUUAAAGAUAAUAAGUUAGAUUGCAUAGUAAUAUAAUAGGUUAAGUUAGUCAAUAUGCUAAUCAUUUGCAUUGUACAUGAUCAUGCAUAUAACAUACUAAGCUACGUAGUAUAUGAACUAAUCAUGUAUACUACAUAUGAUUAUCCAUGUUGAGCCGGAUUAAGUGAUUAACCAAGCUUAGCAUGUUCGUUGGGUCUAGUCUACGGGUUGUAGUUUAGCUUAUGAGUAGAGCCUGACUUACUAAAUAGAUUUUAACUUAAAUCAUAAUUAUUUUUUUAAUUUUAAAUUAUAGCAUCAUCAAAUUAUAAUCAAAACACCAAACUAUUAUAAUUGAGUAAUUAAAAUAUAAUAAAUAUUAAUAGAUUAAAAAUAUAAAUUUACAUUAAAGGGAAAAUAAUAUUUUUACUCAACUAUUGUACAAAUCUAAUAGAAAUUGAAUAUUACAACUAGUAUGUUGCAAGAUAAAAAUUUUAAAAAUGAUUGUAGUAUGAAUAAUUAUAAUAUAUUAAAUCCAAAAAAAUUUAAAUAUUUGGAUGAAUAUAAUAAAAUUUUAGAAACUAUAUAUAGCAUGAAUAAAAAAAUAAUAAUAAUAAUAAUAUUUUUUAAAAAAAUAUACAAGCGCCUACCUCUCUUAUUCUGAUUUGAAGUAGUGAAAAACUAAGAAAAGGAAAUCGCACCUAUUAAAUAAAAAGAGUCGAGCCUUCCAAGGUAAUAAAUAUUUUAAUUGUUAUAUUUAUUUAAUUAAUAAAAAUAAUAUCACUUAACUUAAAAUAUUGAAUAUUUAUUUUAUAAUUUUUAUUCAUAAGAAAAGAAAGUAAGUAAUUGUACUUAAACUGAAUGAUUUAAGGACAGAUGAAACCUGUCAAAUUAGUAUUUUAAGAUCAUUUUAUCCAUAUUUUUUAUAUAAAUAAUUUAUUCCUAUAAUUUUAUAUUUCUUGUGCAUACCGAAGGUUAUACGCUCUUCGUAUAAGGAGCGUGGUUGUAAUUAGGGUGCCGCUGCGGCUGCUCUCUUGUCCCACAAUGGCUGCUGCUCCGCUCCGCUCCGUACUCCGCCGCAAUGGCCUUCUGCCCUUGUUCGAAACCUGCCGCCUUCGAGAUCUCCUCUUCUUCUCCUCCUCUGUCGACCCUGCCGCCGCCGUAGGCGGCACCAUAUCUCCAGAUCCCCACUUCAUGGUGGAAUACCUCGUGAACUCCUGCGGGUUCUCCCCCUCCGAGGCAGCCAUGUUCUCUGAACCCCUUGCGCACCUCCGAUCCACCGAGAAACCCGACGCCGUCCUUAACUUCAUGAGAUCUCAGGGCUUCGAUGGCGCCGGUAUCAGGAAGGUGAUAUCUGGGGAUCCCAGAUACUUAUGCUGCAACGUGGAGAAGAACCUCACCCCGAAGUUUCAGUUCUUACGCGAUUUGGGCCUAUCGGAGUCGGACAUCGUCGAUGUCAUCCGGAAUAACGAUGACAUCCUCUGCCGCAACGUUCACCGUUCCUUCGGCCCCAAAUUGGAGAUAUGGGAAAGUCUCUUGGGAUCGAGAGAACUCGUUCUCAAGCAUCUCAAGAAGUCAGGAUGGUUUUUCUUCUCCAGCGUCGAGAAGACAUUGCAUCCUAACCUAAAGUUCUUGAGGGAUGAGUGCGGCAUUCCUGAAGAAAGGUUCUCUCUCGUCUUGAGAAGUCACCCACAAUUAAUCUCACAGAAACCAAAGUCACUCCGAGCUUUGGUGGCGAGAGCCGAUGAGCUGGGGAUGCCACGGCAAUCUCGGAUGUUCAUGUGGACACUUGUUGUUUUCCACAACGUAAGCCAAGAAAGGUUCGAGGCCAAGGUCGAGCUCAUGAGGAGCUUCGGGUGGUCGGAGUCGGAGUUUUCUUCUGCAGUCAGGAAAGCACCCACCUUCUUACGCGUGUCCGUCGACAUGAUGCGCAGAAAAAUGGAAUUUUUUAUCAAUAUAGUCGGGUACACCCCUUCCUUCAUCGCCUCCCAACCAACUAUCUUGCUAUAUGGUCUGCAGAAGAGGGUAAUUCCUCGGUUUCGUGUUUUGGAGAUGUUGAUUACGAAAGGCUUGGGGACUCGACUAGGCAAGUUUUCGUACUAUGUGAAAUUAUCAAAUACAAAAUUCCGGGAGAAGAUUGUUCUACCUUACAAAGAAAAGGUUCCUGAGCUUCUUGAUAUUUUGAGAGCAGGUGAGUGUGAAGGGAAAUGAGCCCUUUUAUUUGGUAUCAGAGGAGGAUGAGAAGGGCUUAGCUGAUGGUCUAACUCACAUUUGAAUUUCUCAACAGGAGCUGAGCAGUGAUUCGGCACCUUUUCCCUUGACAACAAGCUGUCUUACAUCGACCACCAGCCUUGGCUACUGAGGUGCAGUCCAGUGAAAGAAUUAUUCCUUUGGUGCCAUAUGGUGGUAAUGUUGUAAUUGGAAGGUCUACGCAUUGCCCAACACAAAAUGUCUUCCAGUUUUACUCAUUAAGGUUCAUGGAAAAGUCUGUUCUUUGUUGCAAAGCAGAAGUCCCUGGCCUGUUUGAAAUCUCUGAUCGAUGAAGGUAGAUUAUUCCCCUAGUUUGAGAUUUUGGAAAUAGAAUGCAAAUGGCUUCUCUAAAAGUCUAUUGAGGUGUGAGAUUCUUCUCAUGUGACAAGCUAGUUUAGCAUUGAUUAUAAACCAACUUUGUUUUGUCUUACUAAAUGUCUGCUCGAAUCAUCUUCUGAUUGUGUUUGGCACACUAUUGUUGGUUUGUAUGUGAACUGCAGGUUAUUGGUUGUUGGGGGAGUGUGAAAGAGCCAUGUUUCAGAUCAAAUUAUGCAGUAUGUAUACAUCACCAAAGAUGACGAGAAGUUACAUGGAGUAGUGGUUGCUCUGAUGAUUUUAGUAGCUGAAAAAAAUUUAAACCCCAAAGUGUUGUUUCUAUAAUUUGUUUUAAGCGAGUUUUCACGGAAUUAUGGAUUUGGAUGUCUUCAAGGAUGUGUUAUCUUGUCAGUUGAGCUUCUAUGCAAACUUGUUCGUGUGCUAAUUGGAAGAUUCCAUUUAUGUUUCUGUUAUGUAUUGUGAUAUUUGCAUGCAGGGAGGGGCCUCAAUGGAAUUUGUAAGACCGGUUGCUGUGUUGAUCAGGAUUACCAUUGGUUUGGCGCUCAUCCAUUUCGUUUGCAUGUAAGAAUGUGUCACUUUGCUUGCAGGUUGAAUGGUCUUCAGAGAAUCAAAACUUGAGUAUGCUAUCCUGAAAAGUCUUCAGCCUCAUUCGAAUUGUUGCUCAGGCAUUUCCUGCAUCAACGAACUCUAACAUGCAAACUAAUUUAUAUACCUAAACAUUUUAAAAUUGACAACAAAAUGUGUAUUUCAAAUUUCUGUAAUUGUCUUUGGGAUUUGUUUUAGAGUUAAUCGACGAUUACAAAAUUCACGACUUUAUUGGAUGAUCUGCAUGAUUAUUAAACCAAUAAAUUAUUUGUAGUCAUUCAAACUCACCUAACAAGUACAAGAUUCUUUGAAUGUUGAUAGUUGUAAUUUGUUCACUAUGUAAACAAACAGAGAAAGACGAAUUCCGUAUAAGCUACAAGUUCCUAAAGUUUUAGAACACCUAACAUCUAUAAAAGGGAAGAGUUCGGCUGAAGAAUUGUGAAAACGAUGUAGAAGUAUAAUAUGAAAAUGCACCAAGGAAAAAGAAAACAUAAUCCAUCAAGACAAAUUUACGAUCAUCAUAGGAAAGAGGCUCAAAUGGUAAAAUCAAAUAAGAGAGACCAAUGUUUACGAUAUCAUGGUUGGACCUAUCGGAGUCGGAUAUUGUCAAUGUCAUCCUGAAGAACAAUGCCAUCCUCCGUCUCAAUGUUUACAGUUCCUUCGUCCCCAAAUUGGAGAUGUCGGAAAGUCUUUUGGGAUCGAGAGAGCUUGUUCUCAAGCAUCUCAAAAAGACAAGACGAUUUUUCCUUUGAUCACAUGGAAUGAAUUAGAGCUGAAUUAUACCUGAUCUUAUAAGCUAAGUCAAAACUAUUAACUGAGUUAAACAAUGCUUGACCACAUACGAUGAGUUAUGUUUAACCACAUAAGUUAGAUCAUACUUGGUCAUAUGGAUGCAGUAAUUUUGUAACUAUAUAUAUUAUAUUAUAUUUGACUAUGUGGAUUAUGUUAUGUUGAAUCAUACUUGACAAUAUAGUCCAAGUAAUACUUAGAUUGUAUCACCACAGGCUAGUUUGGUCAAUCAACUUAAUUAAGGUGAAAUCUCAAAUUUGACUCGUACUUGUUAAAUUAGAUUUUAAUAUUUUAAAAAUAUUUUAAAAUAUUAUAAAAUAAUAAUUAAUCAUAAAUCUAUUAUUUUUCAUGAAUUAACUAAUUUAGAUUUAUGUCUCAAAUUUAAAAGUAAUUAAAUCAUAAAAAAUCAUACUUAAUUGUUUAAAACAUAAAUAUACUUUCGAUGAUCAUUAUUUAUUAAUCAUAAAAUUAUUAGAUUAAAAUAUUAAUUUUAUAACAUAUAAAUUAAAAUAAUUAUAAUAUUAAAUAAUUUUAAAAAUAUAAAAAAAUAAUAAUAAUAACAAAUCUACUCUCCUCAUGAACAUUUCUUGUAAGAGAGCUAGUAAUUGAGGAAAGAUGAGCUUGAGCUCUCCAUAAAAGAUAAAUAAUAAUUUUAAUAAUAUUCUUAAUCAUAUUAUAUAAAUGAAAAAAAAAUACUAAUUUAAAUAAAGUAAUACAUGUUUUAAAGUAAUUAAUUGAUGUUAGAGAAUUAUCGAUGGUUACAAAAGUCACGACUUUAUUGAAUGAUCUACAUGAUUAUUAAACUAAUAAAUUAUUUGUAGUCAAUCAAGCUCACCUAGCAAUUACAAGAUCUUUUGAAUGUUGAUAGUUACAAUUUGUUCACUAUGUAAUCAAACAGAGAAGACAACAUCCAGAAUAAGCUACAAGUUCCUGAAGUUUCAGAACACCUAACAUCAAUAAAAAGGGAAGAGUUGAGAUGAAGCAUUAUGAAAACGAUGUAAAAGUAUAACAUGAAAAUGCACCAAGGAAUAUAUAUAUAUAUAUAUAUAUAUAUAAUUCAUCAAGAAAAAUUCAGAUCAUAAAGGGAUUUCACAUGCAUGCAUGGCAAACAAAAAGGUUCGAUUGUGGUUUUAAAAACAUAAUUGCCAUGCAAAAAGAAAAAUUAAUGGUUGAAGUAAGACGUAUCCUAAUAAAAGUAAUUUAAUUUUUAACCCACGAUACCAAGCCGAAUCACUACACAACAGGAGUAAUAAAAAAUCCACAGUUAUUGAAAUGUGUUACUUAAAAACUCGGAGUAACUUAUAGUAACCAUUUCCCCAUAAACCAAAAAUUUAUUUCCACUAUAUUUUUCCUUGACUAAGAAUAACAUCAUUAAACUUCUACCAUCGAUCGAUAACAAUGACAAACUUGCCAUCCGUAGGAGAGCAAAGGUCAAGAACAAAAACAUGAGAAACCAUAAAAUUCUUUCUUAAAAAAAUUAAUUUAAUAAGUUCAUAUCAGGCCGUCAAUUAAGAAAAGUAUCAAAAGUAAUAUCUAGUCCGCGAGCUAUGAUAUAGCUUAUGGGUUGAGCCUAACAUACUCAUUUAUUUCAAUUUAAAUCAUAAUUAAUUUUUAAAUUUUAAAUUAUACUAUCAUGAAAUUAUAAUAAAAAUAAAUUAUAUAUCGAUCAUUUUCAUAUCGAGAUAAAAUAAUAUAUUAAAAUAUUUUUAAUUUAUCUUUUAAAUAUUAUUAAUAUAAAAUAAUAUCAAUUAGUCCUUAAUUAACUUGAAUCCUAAUUCAAUCGAUCUAAUUGAAUUGGAUUUAAUUAUAACCUAGUCGAAUCGAUCAUUAAUUCUUAUUUAAUUGAUCUAAAACUAUCUUAGACUUAAUAUAUUUUAGAUUAUAUUAAGUUUAAUUUAUGUUAAAUAGAUUUAAAUUAAUUAAAUUAAUUUAGAGUCACCUUCAAUCGAUUUAAAUUUAUCAAAUUAGAUUUUGCUCAAUUCGAACACAAAUAAAAUAAAGUAAAGAUAAUAAGUUAGAUUGUAUAGUAAUAUGAUAUGUUAAUUUAGUCGAUGUACUUAUUGUAUAUGACUAUGCAUAUAUCAUACCUAACUCAUAGCCCAAGAACUAAUCAUUUGCACUACACAUCAAUGUUGAGUCGGAUUGAAUGACUAACUAGGCUUAGCCAGUUGAGUCAAAUCUAUGGGUUGUAGUUUAGCAUGUGGGUAGAGCCUGAUUUACUAAACGAAUUUCAACCAAAAUCAUAAUAUUUUUUUUAAUUUUAAAUUAUAACAUCAUUAAAUUAUAAUAAAAAUCUCAAACUAUUGCAAUUGAGUCAUUAAAACAUAAUAAAUAGUAAUAUAUUAAAAAUAUAUAAUUGCAUUAAAGGGAAAAUAAUAUUUUUACUCAACUAUUAGAUAAAUCUAAUAAAAAUUGAAUAUUACAACUAGUAUAAUGCAUGCAAGAUAAAAAUUUUCAAAAUUAUUAUAGUAAGAAUAAUUAUAAUAUAUUAAAUCUAAAAAUAAAAUUUUAAAUAUUUGGAUGAAUAUAAUAAAAUUUUAGAAACUAUAUAUAGCAUGAAUAAUAAAAAAAAUAAAAAAUAUUAAUUUUUAAAAAAAUAUAGAAACGCCUAACUCUAGUGAAAAACGCACCCCUAUUAAAUAAAAAGAGUCGAGCCUUCCAAGGUAAUUAAUAUUUUAAAUUUAUUUAAUUAUUUAAUAAAAAUAAUAUCACUUAACUUAAAAUAUUGAAUAUUUAUUUUAUAAAUUUUAUUCAUAAGAAAAGAAAGUAAAUAAUUGUACUUAAACUGAAAUAUUUAAGCACAGAUGAAACCUGUCAAAUUAGUAUUUUAAGAUCAUUUUAUCCAUAUUUUUUAUAUAAAUAAUUUAUUCGUAUAAUUUUGUUUUUCUUGUGCAUAGGGAAGGUUAUACACACUACGUAUAAGGAGAGUGGUUGUAAUUAGGGCGCCGCUGCGGCUGCACUCUUGUCCCACAAUGGCUGCUGCUCCGCUCCGCUCCGUACUCCAACGCCGCAAUGGCCUUCUGCCCUUAUUCGAAACCUGCCGCCUUCGAGAUCUCCUGUUCUUCUCCUCCUCUGUCGACCCUGCCGCCGCCGUAGGCGGCACCAUAUCUCCAGAUCCCCACUUCAUGGUGGAAUACCUCAUGAACUCUUGCGGGUUCUCCCCCUCCGAGGCAGCCAAGUUCUCUAAACCUCUUGCGCACCUCCGAUCCACCGAGAAACCCGACGCCGUCCUUAACUUCAUGAGAUCUCAGGGCCUCGGUGGCGCCGCUAUCAGGAAGGUGAUAUCUUCGGAACCCAAUUACCUGUGCCACAACGUGGAGACGAACAUCGCCCCGAAGUUUCAGUUCUUACGUGAUUCGGGCCUAUCGGAGUCGGAUAUCGUCGAUGUCAUCCUGAAGAACGUUGUUAUUCUGCACCUCCACGUUCACCGUUCCUUGGUCCCCAAAUUGGAGAUGUGGGAAAGUCUCUUGGGAUCGAGAGAGCUCGUUCUCAAGCAUCUCAAGAAGACCCGAUGGUUUUUCUUCUCCAGCGUUGAGAAGAAAUUGCAUCCUAACCUAAAGUUCUUGAGGGAUGAGUGCGGCAUUCCUGAAGAAAGGGUCUCUGUCGUCUUGAGAAGUCACCCACAAUUAAUCUCACAGAAACCAGAGUCACUCCGAGCUUUGGUUGCGAGAGCCGAUGAGCUGGGGAUGCC